UUUUUUUUUUUGAAACUGGUCCUUUUCUCCCUUGAUUCACUUUUGUAGACUGAUAUCCUUGUGUUUUCGUGAACUUUAGUUAGAGACUUCACCCAAACUAGUUUCUAUCUUCUGGAUUUUUCUGCCUUUUUUUUUUGAAAUUGGUAACUUUAGAUUUUUCUGUCUUAUCAAAAUGGUUUAAUUCGACGUGCCUAUAAUAACAAGGGAAAAGAAAUCUUUGCCAUUAUGUAACUGUUCUUGUUAUAGGUUGAAUUUUAAGGGUCAUAUCCUUGUAUGUUGCUGUCUUUAACUUUUCUAUUUAAUCUAAUAUUUAGGUGAAGUUUAUCAAUCCUCUACUACGGUCACCAAUAGUUGGUGAUGUGGCGUAUGGAACCCUGGUGAAGCUUUCAAAGUGUACUGCUACUCCACUUUGUAACUGGGCUCUUGAAAUUGCGACAGCCUUAAGGUUAAUUAUGUCAGAGGAUGUUAAUGUCUUAUGGGGUAAAAUUCCUUCUGCUGGUGAGGAGGUAUCAAAUGAAAAGCCUGGUCUCUUUGAGCGUGUAACAAACGGCUUGUCCAUUUCUUGCAAAACUGGGGCUCUCCCUGUGGAUUCGUUUACUUUUGUUUUCCCUGUAAGUUUGUGGUCUGAUCAUGUCAACUUUACUUUCCUGGUAGUUAUUCUUUCCUUUGUCACUGAGACACUGACAUUUUCUGAUAUACAUAUAUUUUUCUUUUUGUUGCAUGCGUAGAUAAUGGAGAGAAUAUUGUUAUCUCCCAAGAAGACCAAACUUCAUGAUGAUGUUCUCAAGAUAAUAUUCUUGCAUUUGGAUUCGUUUUUACCUCUACCUAGAGUUCAAAUGCUCUCAGUUACGAUCACUACAGCUUCUUGUUGUUUAUACCUUGAUUAUCAUUCCUGUAUCUAUUUCUGACUGAUUAUCUUGGUGAUUUUUUAGGUUCUUUAUCAUGUCCUGGGUGUUGUUCCUGCUUAUCAAGCAUCUAUUGGACCGGCAUUAAAUGAGUUAUGCCUUGGGCUGCAACCAGCUGAAGUGGCACCUGUAUGUGAUGUAGUUAUGAAUUUCUUCUGUGAGCUUCCACAUAACACUUAUAAUCACUUGUGUUUCAUGGACUUUUGCAGGCUUUAUGUGGUAUUUAUGCUAAAGACAUCCAUGUUAGAAUGGCUUGCUUAAAUGCUGUGAAAUGCAUUCCUGCUCUGGCUAGUCAUUCUGUCCCUCAAAGUAGUGAAAUUGCCACUCGCAUCUGGCUUGCUUUACAUGAUCCCGAAAAGGUAUUACAUUCUUGUAGAAGUUACUUUUCUAGUGAUAAAUGCUUAAUUCUGGGUUUUCAGUCCCUUUAAAUAUUACUCCCUUCGUUUCAAUUUGUUUGUGUGGUUUUGACUUGGUGGAGUUGAAGAAAGUAAAGAGAACUUUUGAAUCUUGUGGUGUUAAACUAAAGAAAUGUUGAAUGUACGAAAAUGCCCUUUAAUGUCGUGGUCUUAGGGAUUAAAGAGUUGUCAAAAAAGGAAAGAAACAUUCUUUCUGAAAGGGAUUAAAAAGGAAGGAAAGUAAGACAAACAAAUUGGAAUAGAGGGAGUAAUAAUGAUAUAUUGUUCAGAUUUGCACAAUGACCAGUAAGGGAUAAUGCUUUCAUCAAGUGUAUGAAUCCCGUGAACAUACUUGGUGUCUAUUUUUAUUUUUGCUGUACUCUUGUCCAAUAUAUAGGGUGGGCAUGAUAACUGGUAUCAGGUACGGUAUGCUUUUAAAUUUCAAUAGUAUAUAAAUUCAAGAUUUCGCGUUAGAAAAGAGUUAAGACUUUUAGUCUAUCUUAACAUUCCACAACAUCAUGAGUUCAACGCGCUUGCUUGGACCAGGAGGCAACUGGAUUUACUUAUUUUCUCUUCUGUUUUUGCUGGAAAGGUGUUUCUAUUUUCCUAGAGAGUUUCAGAUUUUGAAUUUGUCAUUUCUUCUUGUGACAUAAAACAUCCCUGGACACCUUUCAAUUUUUUUAACAGCUCCCAUAUCAUUUUAGUUGGGGUAUAAGUGGCAUAUUAACAUAAGCUAGCAAAAUGAAUUAAAGUGAGGAGAUACGGGUACACUAUGUAAUGCUUUCUCACUAGUGUUGGCGUAACAGAAGUACAAAACCCACAUGCAUCUAAAAAUUUUUGGGUUCUGUGCUUCAUAGAAUUGGUUCUACUCAGGAAGCAUCUUGGUAACUAAUGCGUAAGUGUGGUAUUAUUUUGUCCUCUGGUUGGUUAGUCUGUGUAGAUGAUCUGGUAUGGUUGUUCCUCCCUUUACCUGCUACCUACUUCGAAGAAAGUGGGAAAUUAUUGGAUGUAUUUGAUUUACAGUUUAGACUGAAAUAAAUAAAUGAGGUUUUGAUGAUUCUAUGAGUUCCACCAAGAAGAUACAGUCUAUUUGUAUAUUUUCUUUUGCUUAUGGUGUAGGAUGAACACGUAAAUGAAGCUGAAACAGUUCUACAAACAUUAGAAUCCCUACAAAAUUAGUCAGGGCACACUUUUUGUUUGUCUUACUACAUUGUACAGUCCCAAUAACACAUCCUUGGUGCUGUUCUAAUCUAUAAAUUAAUUUACCUCUUCAAAAAGAAAUUGGGCAAUCGCCUGUCUAACGAAAUGAUCCUUCCUAGAUUAUACAGUUCCGCUUUCCUGUUAGUUGAAAGUGACAAAAAUUAAUGGCUUGAUUUUAGUUAAAUCGUAGGAGCGUAAUAACUUCAGUAUCUGAACAGUAUGGUCUUAUGAUAUUUGCUGAUUUACUUAAUCGACUGUAAGUCUUGAUUAUUUUAAGUUAAGUUGUCUAUAUAGCAGCAAUUCAGACAUCCAUUUCAAAUUUGUGUUCUAAGUGUUGUUGUGAUUCAGUAUUUCUAUUUUAUGUCCAAAAUGUUAACAUGACAGUAUGAACUGUGUGUGUUUACUAUUCAGUGUGUUGCUGAAGCUGCUGAAGACAUCUGGGAUCAUUACGGGUAUGACUUAGGAACAGAUUACGCUGGCAUUUUCAAAGCUCUUUCCCAUGCUAAUUAUAAUGUGCGAGUGGCUGGCGCUGAGGCCUUGGCUGCUGCUUUAGAUGAAAGUCCAGAUACGAUACAGGUUUAAUUAGCUUAUAUGUUCUGUUUUCUGGACAAUGUAUAAAAAAUUCUUAACUGACAGUGUGAAUGUCUUUUGGAUAAACAAUGCUUUCAGGAAUGUCUUUCAACUUUAUUUUCUUUGUACAUCCGUGAUGUUGGUUCUGGUGAAGACACCAUUGAUUUUGGAUGGAUAGGCAGACAAGGAAUAGCAUUGGCUCUACUUUCUGUGGCGGAUGUUCUUAGAGCAAAAGACCUUCCUGUUGUUAUGACAUUCCUAAUUUCAAGGGCACUGGUAAUAAGUUCUUUCUCUGAAUGAGGUGUUGUUAAUCAUGUCUAUGUUUCAAUGUAUCAUUAAGAUCUGCAUUUUUUCUUUUUGUUCUUUCUUUCUCUCUCUCAAAGAUUGCUAAUGAUAACUAACAGGUGAACGGAAGUUCUUCUUUACUUCUGUGCAUGCUGAUUUUCACAAUUAAGUUUUUCUAAGAGUUUGUCUUGUUAUAGUGAUACGGAACAUGUUAACUAUCUUACAAUUGAAAUAUUGUUGCCGAGAUACUUCUUUUCUUCGCUUUUAAGGAGCUCCCUCCUUGUAUCAAAAACUUUAAAGUCCACAUCUUCUGAUACGUACUAGCUGUUUUAUGAAUUGUGGUGCUUCACUUGGUUUUGUAACCCGUCAAAACAGAACUUUCUGGAAAUAUAUGAAAAUUCAUAAGAAAUGGUUUUAUUCUGUUUGGGUUUGAGUAGUGGGGGACUUUGGAAUUGCAGGCAGAUCCUAAUGCAGAUGUAAGAGGAAGAAUGAUCAAUGCUGGCAUAGUUAUUAUUGACAAACAUGGAAGAGAUAAUGUCUCAUUGCUAUUCCCUAUUUUCGAAAACUACUUGAACAAAAAGGUAUGACAUAUUUGUUUCCAAGAUCGUCUAUUUCCUUUAAUCUUAAGAGGUUUUAUACUUUUGGUUGGGGGUGAAUGAUUGGUGUUCGAGUUUUUCAUGUUGAUCCUAUUGCCCUUUUGUGGCAGCUAAAAGCUAGUUAUAGGCUUUGAAUAUGUAUAAUAUGUUCAAAUAACAACUGUUUGUUGAUUGUGCAGGCUUCAGAUGAGGAGAAAUAUGAUCUGGUCCGUGAAGGUGUGGUAAUAUUUACUGGAGCUUUGGCAAAGCAUUUGGCCACGGUAAUUGAUCCCCCCUCUUAUAAACUUGGUCCACAGUAAACACUUUUAAAGAUUUUGGUCCUAAUACCUUGUCUAUUUUUGAACAGGAUGACCCUAAGGUUCACACAGUUGUAGAGAAGUUGCUGGAUGUACUGAAUACUCCGUCUGAAGCUGUUCAGCGAGCUGUCGCUACCUGCCUUUCUCCACUUAUGCAAGCAAAGCAGGUUAGUUCAGCAUCUUCUUGAAAGCUUCUUUAUACUAUGCAGCUGUAACAAACGAGAAACAUUGCCACAUGUCAUGAUUGUAAAUCUUGAACAAUCUGCAGUUACUACACUCUUCGUUAACAGUCAAAAGUGUGCUUUUGUUUACUGCCAGGCUACUUUGACUCUUCAUAACGUACAUGUGUCUGAAGGAUAUGUUUUGGGUUUGGGUACCUCAUCUAGACCUCACGGAAUAUGCCUUGAGCUGGUUAAAUUUGGAUGUGUCUGACCAAUAAAAAAAGGAGAGGUGCCUAUACCCAACCCAUAUCCAUGUCCAUAUCCAUACUCGAGUCCACGUAUAAUAGGUUAACUGCAUGGAAUGAUAUAUGUUAUAUCCUAGUGAGUUGUGCAGCUUUACAUCCCUCCUGUAGAAGGGUUCUUACUUUUAGUAAAGCAAGUAAAAAGAACCAACAUGACUAUAUUCCGAACCAUCUGUUAUUAUCCUAAUUUGCAUGAAUCUUGAAGUGAGGCCUUUCAGUUCUAUGAUGAAUAAACUCCAAUAUCAUAAUCCAUGUGGAAUUUUGGUUCCCUUUUCUAUAGGCUAUCGGUGUUCUGAGGUGGUAACUGGAGAAUUUUUUGGUUAACUACAGACUCAUUCUCAUGCAUUUACCAUGCUAAUCCCGAUAGUCCCUUGGGAUAUUUCUGAAGGAAUUCUUGUCUCACAUAGCUUUUAAGUUUGUUCUUUUUUGUUGAGAAAGUUGACAUUUUAUAAACAAAAUAUAUCAGUAGUGUUUCAGUAGUAAUUACGUCAGGGAUUUAAAGUUAGCAAAACCAAAUAUAUCUAUCACCUACACUCCUCCUAAACUAUCUAAAAGUGAGUAAUAUCCUCCACCUUUCUGGAGAGUACAUAGUUACAUAAAAAAUAAAAGGUUAUAAGGCACUUCAAUUUCAAGCUCUGGAAAGGGAUGCUCUUGUUUUCAAAACAUCUCUGGUUCCUUUCCUUCCAUAUUGUCCACCUGAUGCAAGCAGGGACAAUCUUCCAUCUCUCCUUAUGGCCCGACAUGUUUCCUUCUCUAUUCCAUCCUGUUAGGGCUUCUGAUGUAUGCCUUGGCAUGGACCAACUGAUACCCCUCAAGUUAAAAAACACGCAUGUCACAGUUUCAGUGUCACUCUACAGUGAAUGAAGAGAUGGUUCGUUGUCUCUAUUCUCUUUCACUAAAAAAGCACCUGGAACAUAAUUCGCUUCCCCUUUUCAUUAGAUUGUGCUGAGUUAGUACUGCUUGCCUGGCUACCAACUAGGUGAAACAAGCCACCUUGUGGGGUAUCUUAACUUUCCAUAUCAUCUUCCAAGGCCAUGAUAAGAGCAUUGCAGCUGGCCUAUCAAGGUGCCUGUAAGCUGAUUUUGUUGUGAAUUUCCCAUUUUUGGCUCUCAACCAUUGUAGACUGUCUUCAUUUGUGUUAAGGCUAUUGACCUGCUCCAAAGAAUUGAAGAAAUCUGUGAGGUUGUCUAUUUCCCAGUCAUUUCCAUCCUUGGUUGUCCCUGACAUCUGCUACUACCGCUGCCUCCUUCUGUUGGUUCAGAUUGUAGAUCACAGGGUACAACUGUUUCAAGGGGUAUUGACCAACCCACACAUCAUUCCAGAAUGAUAUCCUUCUUCCGUUUCCUAUUUCAAUCCUUGAGUUUUUCCAUAAUUUAGGCCACUGGAUCCUGAUUGUUUUCCAUAAACCUACCCCAUAAGGGCCUGUAGCUUCCUUAGUGAUCCAUAGGUCUUCCAUUGUAUAUCUGGAAGCUAUAACAUCUUUCCAUAAAUCCUGUUCUCCAGAGACAAACCUCCAUAGCCACUUCAAGAUAAGACUCUGGUUCUGUACUUUGAGGUGCUUUAUGCCCUUUCCUCCUUUUUUGUUGUUGAUGACAGCAUCCCAUUUCACCAAGUGAUACUUCUUUUAAGCUUUUAAGUUUGUUUUGUAAUUCAACUUUCUCUAGCAUUCUCUCUCCUUGUUCUGUACUGGAUAAAGUCCAGGAAAUAUAAAUUACUAAUUUGUGUCCUAGUUCUGUUUCUAUAAUUUUGACUUUGUUUCUUCCAGAUUUGUUCGCUGAUAUUUUUCUUCCUUAGUCAUCUCUAUUUCUUUCUGCUGUCCUUGCAAUUUUUUUGUUAGUUUAUACCUAAUUUGCAAGCUGAAACUGGAUUCUCUUUUUGCCUAUCUCUUCUCUUGCACCAGGAGGAUGCACCAUCUCUGGUUUCUAGGCUUUUGGAUCAGCUAAUGAAGAGUGAAAAAUAUGGAGAGCGUCGUGGUGCAGCAUUUGGACUUGCAGGGCUGGUUAAGGGAUUUGGAAUAUCUUGCCUGAAGAAAUAUGGCAUUGUAGCAGCACUACAUGAAGGUUUUGCUGACAGGUUAGUCUUCUGGCAUGUUUCAAUCACUCUAAAUUAGAGGUUGAGUUACUCUGUGAUUUCAAAUUUUUUUUAAAAAAUAAAAUAGAAAACCUUCUCAAAAAAGUUACCCUGUGAUUUGACGCAGUGGUUUUCUGUUCUUUUCCAAGGAUUUGAUGAAAUGUCAUGAAUAACAACCCAGUUGAGGCAUUAUACAAUGGAAUUAGUGAGAAGAACUCAUUCUUCUAUUUACCUUUAUCUUUAUGUGCUAGACAUUGUUGAAGUGAAAUUUCAAGGUUAUGGUCGGUUGAAUAUAGGCUUUUAUAUCAAUGGUGAUUAUUAAAAUAUUCUGUAUGCCUUUGUAGCUCGAUUAUGUGCUUUUGCUUAUGUCUUAAAGAUGUAAAUGGAUAAAUGUUUCUAAGCUUGUUUUUUCAAUUAAAUCUCCCUGUCUUCACCUGCCCGCAACAAGGAAAAAGGGGAAAAGUGACUUUGUUAUCUUUCAGCUUGUCACCUCUUUUCUUUAUAGUUGCUACUAAAGUUCGAGCUCUGAACUUUAGACGACUAUUUCAUGAAAUGUCUACAUCUAUUAGCUGUAUUCUGACCAUAGUUAUAUGUUUCUAAUAUGAUCUGGGUGCUGUUCAUGCAGUUAUCGAAUUGUACAUUAGUAUUGAAAAGAAUUGGACCUGAAUAGAGAGGAAUGGAUAAAUAGGACUCAUACACCCGAUCCCAACUAAUGUGGGAUUGAGGUGUAGUGUAUGUUUCUGUUAUAUUAUAAAAUUUUAGGUCAUUUCUUGCUUGGCAUUUCAGCUAGCAAUAGUUGACAUUCAACAUUGUUUCAUUGAUAUGGCUUUGUCACAGGGUAGCCAAUUUCAUUAUAUUUCAAUAACUGCACCUCUCUAUAUAUGAAAGUUUCUCCUUCCAGGAUCUGAAUGAUGUUUAUUUGCAGGAAUUCGGCUAAGAGCCGUGAAGGAGCACUGCUUGCAUUUGAAUGCUUCUGUGAGAAGCUUGGGAAGUUGUUUGAACCGUAUGUCUUAUGUUUAUAUUUUUUUUAUCCAGAAAUCAUACAAAUGAAAUGCUUAUCCUUGUUGUAAUUUGAACUUGGAUUUUGAAAUUAAUCAGCUUUGUUUCACCUGUCUCCCCGUUUUUCCUUCAGGUAUGUAAUUCAAAUGUUACCGUUCCUCUUGGUUUCUUUCUCUGAUCAAGUGGUUGCGGUGCGUGAUGCUGCUGAAUGUGCUGCUCGGGCAAUGAUGUCUCAGCUUAGUGCUCAAGGAGUGAAAUUAAUUCUUCCAUCACUUUUAAAGGUUCUUAGUUUUAGCUUUUCCCCUGUACCUUACUCAAUGCAGUUGACUCUAUCCAUACCUUAUUGGUUUAGUGAUGUGGUUAACUGGAUGAUGGAGUAAUCUUGCACAGUGUAGUUUAUGCACACUUAUAGAGUACUCUUACAAGUCAUCCUCAAAAUUCUUUUCCAGUGUACAUCUAUCCCGAAAGUUUCAUGUAGUUUAUUGGGACUCUUAGAGAUGGGAAUAAUUUUGAGAAUGCUCUUCCGAUGAUGAGAAGUUGUUGCACAGUGGGUCACGUUGGUUAGCCUUUGAGGACUGUUUGGUAGCAUAGGAAUAGAGAAACUGUAACCUUAAUGCACCCUUGCUCUUUGUUUUUUGAAGAAUAAGUGCAGCGUUUCAUGAAGCAUAUUGUAGGUUUUUAUUAACUUUUGGCAUCUGUGUAUUUCUCUGAAAAGACAGUUGGAUCCUGAGUUUUGUUGAAAAACCUAUAUGGAUCUAAAAUGGCCAGAAAAACUUUGAUAUUCUGCUGUUGUUGAUGUGUCCGCUAUUAAAUAUUUUCCCAUGUGUUUCGGAUUCACUUAACUCAUUAUUAGUUGCCCUUCAUUACAUGAGACCUAUGUUUACAAUUAUUUUUCUGCGUCAGGGCCUUGAAGAUAAGGCUUGGAGAACCAAGCAGAGUAGUGUGCAACUUCUUGGUGCCAUGGCCUAUUGUGCUCCACAACAAUUGUCACAAUGUCUCCCUAAGAUUGUGCCCAAGUUAACUGAGGUUUGUCCUACUGCCUGCAAACUUAGUACAUCUGUCUUUGACUACAGUGCGGUACUAGUCUCCGUUUCUUACCGCUUUGUAAUACUGAACAGGUGCUUACUGACACUCAUCCCAAGGUUCAAUCAGCUGGACAGACAGCUCUUCAACAGGUUAAACUAUCUCAUGAUCAAAUUUCUCUUACUUUCCGUGUUCUACUUCGUGCCAUUUAUUUAGUUGUCUUUUGUUGAGUAUAGGUUGGGAGUGUUAUAAAGAACCCUGAGAUAUCUGCACUUGUCCCUACUCUUCUAAUGGGUCUUUCAGAUCCUAAUGAGUAUACAAAAUACUCCCUUGAUAUUCUCCUCCAGGUAAAUAUGUUUACUGAUAACAUGUUAUCUGGUUUCCAUGUACCUAUACUUGAUAGGUAAUCCGGUUUCCAUGUACUUUCUGACAAGCUAAUUCCUUGUUCCAAUUCUUUCAGACAACCUUUGUGAAUUCAAUUGAUUCUCCUUCUCUCGCGCUGCUGGUACCAAUUGUACACCGAGGGCUUCGUGAAAGGAGCGCUGAGACUAAGAAGAAAGCUGCACAAAUUGCUGGAAAUAUGUGUUCAUUAGUGACUGAGCCUAAGGACAUGGUACCCUACAUAGGACUACUGCUCCCUGAAGUUAAGAAGGUACAUCUGAAAAUAAUUGAGUAACAUUUAUGAUGAGUGCAAAAGUUGACUCUAACAUAAUUUUCACACGAUUUCAGGUACUUGUAGAUCCAAUUCCUGAAGUUCGAUCUGUUGCUGCAAGAGCUAUUGGUUCUCUUAUACGGGGUAUGGGAGAAGAAAAUUUCCCAGACCUGGUGCCUUGGUUGUUGGAUACUUUGAAGUCUGAUGGAAACAAUGUUGCGCGUUCUGGGGCAGCACAGGGACUUAGUGAGGUAUAAUUAUCUCACCCCGUGUUACUUGGUUACAUCUCUCUCUCUCUCUCUUGUUAUAAGGAGUUGAAAAUCUCCCUUUUUUAAGACUUUAUGUCUACAAGAAUCUAUCACUGGGAUGUGUGGGUGGGGUGGGGGUGAUGCUUAAGCUUUUUCACUUGAAUAUAUUUUGGAUAUUAGUUCUAAGUUAGCAUUAUCAUUGUCUCUUACCUUUGCUUCUUUGUCAAAAGGUAAAUAUAAUAGAUCUUUUUUCUUUAAAGGAGUUCUUCAAUAUUGGCGCCAAGAUUAAGGUUUUGUGCUGUAUGCAAACUUUGCUUGUCCUCUUGCAUCUGGUUCUGCUGGGUGAUUUAACUUUAAAAUUAGUUAUUGACAUUGUUUGCAUAUAAUAAGUUGAAAUGGCUUUUGAGCAUCUUUAUCUUAUUGGCUCCGCCUCUUUUAAAUUUGGCUGUUGUGGAGUGAGGGCCAAGAAACAAUAAUAAUUAACAAGCACGGAAACCUUUUGUGCAUCAUCAAGGAGUUUUCGGGCUGGUGGGUGGGGGUCUGGAACCAGUAACAAAGAAUGGAGACUCGGUUUUUGAGCUGCUUAGGGUUCUCGUUUUCACAUUCAACCUACAAGUGUUUUUUCCUCUUUCCCAGGUAUUGGCUGCAUUAGGAAUGGAGUACUUUGAGAACAUACUUCCUGAUAUAGUACGAAAUUGUUCUCAUCAAAAGGCAUCAGUACGUGAUGGGCACUUGGCACUCUUUAGGGUAAGAACUUUUUUUUUUAAAGUUUGUGUUCAGAAAGAUUGAUAACUUCAUACUUUUGUAUAUUUUCUCACAUGGAUUAUAUGGCUACUUGUAGUAUCUGCCAAGAUCUUUAGGUGUGCAAUUCCAGAACUAUUUGCAGCAAGUUCUUCCAGCUAUCUUAGAUGGUAAAUUUCUCUCUCUCUCUCUCUCUCUAACAAACAGGCGCAAACACUUACACAGAGAUGAACAAAAAUAGCAGUCGUUCUUUCUAGUUGGCAGAAACCGUUGAAGUAUUAUGAGGGGCAGUCUUUUAUGUUAACUUGCAUUGAGAGAUUCAAUUAACAAUUUAUUGUACAAUAGGUUUGGCCGAUGAGAAUGAAUCUGUGCGUGAAGCAGCACUCAGCGCUGGCCAUGUUCUGGUGGAGCACUAUGCAACUACGUAUGCCUUCUUUGUCAUCUUCCACAUCUAGUUUUAAGUUAGUCUCCUUAGUUUGCUUUUGGGGUCCUGUCAAUGGCUGUGAAUUUAGUGCUAUGAUAUUUAAUUGAUGUAGAUAUACACAAUGGAAGAGGCUAUCUUGAAGUGAAUAAGAAUGCUGUUAUGAUUACAGUUUGAACUAUAAUUGAUAUGCUGACCAUUUUGUUACUCGAUGAUCUUCUUUUGUUCCAGAUCUUUGCCUCUGCUUCUUCCGGCUGUGGAAGAAGGUAUUUUCAAUGAUAACUGGCGUAUCAGGCAGAGUUCUGUAGAGUUGCUGGGUGACCUUCUGUUCAAGGUAUGUGUCGUACGUCAGCAUCAUACUGUAGGAUGAAGCAGGUUUAUUAAUGUAUUAUUUUCUUCUAGGUUGCUGGAACAUCUGGAAAAGCACAUCUUGAGGGUGGUAGUGAUGAUGAGGGUGCCAGUACUGAGGCUCAAGGACGAGCUAUUAUUGAGGUACUCGGGAGGGACAAGCGUAAUGAAAUCCUUGCCGCAUUGUAUAUGGUCCGAACCGAUGUCAGCAUAACCGUACGCCAGGUACUAUGGGAUACUUCAAUCAUGGUGCUCGACUUAUUUGGAGAUGCUGUAUAGUAAUGAAUAAACUUCAAUUACUUUGUAUUUUCUCUUUUUCAGGCUGCUUUGCAUGUUUGGAAGACCAUUGUUGCAAAUACCCCGAAAACGUUGAAGGAGAUAAUGCCUGUACUGAUGAGCACAUUGAUAAGUUCUCUAGCAUCUUCAUCCUCUGAAAGGAGACAGGUAUGCUGUUACCCUUGUUUAUGGUAAACAAAAAUGUGUUCAGUAGUUCUGGAGAUAAGAAUUCUGUGGCCUGAAAUUUGCAGGUUGCUGGACGAGCAUUGGGUGAGCUUGUUAGGAAGCUUGGAGAAAGAGUCCUUCCUUUGAUUAUCCCAAUAUUGUCACGGGGUCUAAAAGAUCCUAAUCCAAGUAGAAGACAAGUGAGUACUUUACUUCUUCCGUAUGCUUCUAGGUGUUUUCUGUAAUUUCUCUGCGUGUUGUCAGUCUUAGAGUACUUAAUGAUAAUCUCCGCUCAUCUAUCCAAAUUGGGAGUUCCAGUUUCAUUGCGAACAGAGUUAAGGUAUAUCUUAGUGAGAUAACUUUGUACAGCUGAAGCGUAUUUGGGGAGUGAUGAUUUUCAGAGCAAAUUAUAUGAUUGAGCUUCUUUGUUAGAAAUGUUCUGGAGGUCUUGUUAAUAGGAAAAGAGCUAACAACUUUUGCUUAAGCUCUCUGUGAGCCCUUUUGUCUAUUCUGUAAUUCUGCAUCUUAAAAAAAUCACAUUUUUUGUAUAGGCAGUUUAUACGCUUAAAUUCCCAAAUUUGUUGCUCGACUUCUUCACUAACAUUGUAGUGGUACAAUAUAGUCAUGACUUCAUGGUGACUGGAGCGUGUAUCAUUCUGUCUUGAUAAGGUGGAUAAUUAGUCUUAUUUAUACUGUUCCAAACAAAAGGGGCCAGAAAUGGCCUGCAACUACAAAAAAAUCUCAUCCUUUUGCCUUCAUUAGACAUAGGCUUACCUUCGCACUUGCAAUCACAAUGUACCAAUAAGACGUAGUUUGUUUCCACUUCUCAUUUUUCUCUUCUGCCGACUUUUAAUACUUCUAAUUUCAGGGUGUCUGCAUCGGUCUAAGUGAAGUAAUGGCCAGUGCUGGCAGGAGUCAAUUGUUGAGUUAUAUGGAUGAGCUUAUCCCCACAAUUCGGACAGCACUUUGUGAUAGGUGUGGUAUCUUUUGUUUAUAUUACUAUGAAAAUAGCAGUUUUUUGCAUUUCCAUUCCAAAGUAAUUCCUUGGUUCUUUAUUCAACAGUACGAGCGAGGUUCGGGAAUCAGCAGGCCUGGCAUUUAGUACUCUUUACAAGGUAAACCCUUCAGAUCUAGCCAAUCAUUGAGAUAUUUUACUGAGAACUUCUCAACACUAAUCUUCGCAUCUGGUGGUUUGUAACAUAGAAUGCUGGAAUGCAAGCAAUCGAUGAGAUUGUUCCAACACUUCUUCAUGCACUGGAGGAUGAGGAUACCUCAGAUACUGCUCUGGAUGGGUUAAAACAAAUUCUGAGGUAGGCUAUCGUAUGUCUAGUUUAGACAUGUUUCUCUGUAUGAUCUUAUCUUUUUGUCCUAAAUUUAUUGUCACUUAUUUCAGUGUCAGGACCGCAGCUGUGCUGCCACACAUCCUCCCAAAGCUCGUUCAUCUUCCACUUUCGUACGUAUAUAUGAUUUCUUCUUCCAAUAGAUUUUCUGUUCUGUGGUUCUGCAGUACUCACCAUAAUAUCUGCGCAUACCUACAGUGCCUUCAAUGCACAUGCUUUGGGAGCUUUAGCGGAAGUUGCAGGACCUGGUCUUGGUUCCCACCUUAGUACUAUCCUUCCUGCUUUACUGAAUGCAAUGGGUUAUACCGACAUGGUAUGCCUCCUCACUGACAUGUGCAUUCAUUUCUGUAGUUUUCACAUUCGUUUUGUCAUUUUCAAUGGUUUAAUACACAGGAAAUUCAAAGUUUAGCAAAGAAGGCAGCAGAAACUGUUGUGUCAGUUAUUGACGAAGAAGGCAUGGAGUCUUUGUUGUCAGAACUACUGAAAGGAGUUGGCGAUAAUCAGGCAUGCUCUUCCUUUAUUCUCUUGCUUUUGUAACUCAUUUAUUGUUAUUCUUUUCUCUCAUGCUGCUUUAUACUUGUAAAUCCAGGCAUCGAUUAGACGAAGUUCAGCAUAUCUUAUCGGGUACCUGUUCAAAAAUAGCGACUUAUAUCUUGGUGAUGAAGCUCCAAACAUGAUAUCCAGCCUCAUUAUAUUGCUUAGUGAUCCAGAUUCUGAUACUGUGGUGGUAAUGUCAGGGUCAUUUCAUUUCCUUAGAAUGUUAAUUUGUUUGGUUUGGUUAUCUUACCACUUAUUUGACAGGUUGCAUGGCAAGCUUUGUCUAAUGUUGUUAGUUCAGUACCUAAAGAGGUUCUUCCAACAUAUAUCAAGUUGGUUCGUGAUGCUGUAUCUACUUCAAGAGAUAAGGAGCGUAGAAAGAAAAAGGUAUCAAUUUUCUGUAUUUCAGACUUCUGUGAUUUAUGUUUAAAAGCAUGCAUAUCACAUUGUUAUCAGUUGUUUGGUGAGUCUAUAUGUUGAGAUUUUGAUGUUCUUAAUGAACAUGUAGGGAGGACCAGUUCUUAUACCUGGAUUUUGUCUUCCGAAAGCUCUUCAGCCAUUGCUUCCUGUUUUUCUCCAGGUAUUCCAGAUUAUUAUUAUAAUAAUUGUUAUUAAAAUUACUAUUAUUAUUAUUAUCAUUAUUAUUCUUAAUAAGCUAUUCCAGCUUCUUUCUUUGUAAAUUCACGAUAGAUGUCGUGAUUUUCUUUUGAUGGGUGAUUUCGGGGUCUUGGGUUAAAGAACCUUUGCAUAUAUAUUCUUAUGUUUUUCUUUAUUUUCCUUUUGAUGUUGAUUAAAGAACCAAUAAUUUAUUAUUUCCUGAAUAAUUCAUUCAUUAGAGUUUCUUGAGUUAUGUGAUGAUGACAAAUAAUCAAAUUAAUGUUGGAAUAUUGCUAAUAUUUUUUAAGAACCUAUUUUUUCCAUUAUUUUUAAUGUAUGGAUAUUAGUAAAUGAUUAUUUGCAAGUUCAAUACAAUUAUUAUUUAUGACUGCGCGCAGCGUGGGUAAAUUACCUAGUUAAAUAAUUAAUAUAGUAGAAAAAGCAGUAUAUAUAGUAUUAAGGAAAUGUUACCCAUGAAUACUUAUCAAUUACUAACAGGAAGUUGUUUUAAAAUACGAAAACUGGUCACAAUGUCUACAUCUGACUAGAAGUUUUAAAAUUGAUUUUUCACAUUAUUUAGAAAUUAAAGUUGCACUUGGGUGAUAAUAUUUUUUUUACAUCAUAUAUUUCACUCAAAUGUGGUUCUUAGUCUUCUUUGCAUAUAGUUAUUUGUGUCUAAGCAGUAUUUUUUUUGUAUUAUACAUGUGUGGUAUUUUUCUUCCUCUUCUGUGGCUUUGCUCCCUAAAUGUUUAAUUGGAUUUAAAAACCUAGGAGAUGAUCUCGCUUCCAUGUUACCUUUUGCAAUGCAGCAUGACACUCAUCCAAAUUUCUGACCUUGUCAUUGCUGUCGGAUUUACAAUGCAAAUAUACAUGUCUCAACUAGAAUAAAAUAUUGAAAUGUGAUUGUUGCCAGGAAAAAUUGUAGGCAAAUUUCUUAAAUUACUGAAAUUGUAGCAAUCUAAUCUUAUCCAAACAAUCAAUGAAAUGGUAAAGAUUGAAUAAAGCUAAAAGAAAAUAAAUAGUUUAUUAGCCCAAACAGAAGACAUCUUUGAUUUUCUAGAUUGUUUGUAGGCAACAUAUAUAGUUUUGAGCUUUUGAUAGAUUGAAAUACUUUUGAAGGGGAACUGCACUUUUGGUUGUAGUAUACCUGUGGAUAUAUAGAGUAAGGUUACCGGUUUCAAAACAAAAGAAGAAAAUAAAUAGUAGAGCAAACCUAAGGAUUAAAUCACAAUAAAAACUAUUUAAGGUUACCAGUUUCGAAACAAAAGAAGAAGAAGAUAAAUAGUAGAGCAAACUUAAGGAUUGAAUCACAAUAAAAACUGUGUUCAAUCACCUGAUUUUUUUCUUUGAAAAUGUUAUCCCUUGCUCACUUGUCAUCAUUUCCCAUGUCAAAUCACCUGUUAUUUGGAUCUUUAAUGUACUCCUACUUUUAAUAGCAUUGGUUGUUAAUUUGGAGUUUACAAUUUUUGCAAACUAAAUUUCUUAUUCCAAAUGAAUCCAUCUUAUCUAUCUAAUAGCGUAUAUUUUGGUGGACGUUAAAGUAAGUAAGUAAGAUGCUUCAAGAACUAACUCUACUAUGAAAUGUUUAUGUUUUGCAAGUAUAUUCGUACCUUAUUAGAUAAAUAUGAUUACAGGGUAUUGAAUAUUUGGAUCUUUAAUGUACUCCUACUUACUUUUAAUAGCAUUGGUUGUUAUUUUGGAGUUUAAAAUUUUUGCAAAAUAAAUUUCUUAUUCCAAAUGAAUACAUCUUAACUAUCCAAUAGCCUAUAUUCUGUUGGUUGUUAAAGUAAGUAAGUAAGAUGCUUUAUGAUUGUAAAAAAAAAAGGUAAGAUGCUUUAUGAACGAACUCUACCAUGAAUGUUUAUGGUUUGCAAGUAUAUUCGUACCUUAAUAGAUAAUGAUUACAGGGUUUGAGUCUGAGGUUUAAAUUCAAAGUUGUUUUUCAAGUUUCUUGAUUACCCAAUCAAACAAUAGGUAGCCAUCAAUUAGAAGUUUUAACGAACAAGUCCAUUCCUGGUUAUUUCCCUUGCAUUUAGAGUUUCUCUCUGUGAAAUUUCAGCCUUAAUAUUAAGAAAUAAAUGACAAAAAAUACCUUUUCUCUCAGGCACUAAUAUCGAGAUGAUUGUCUAGAUUGAUAUUUCCUUCUUUCUUCUCCGGUGAUCCUUCUGAUCACCGGAAGCUACCCUCUCCUUUCCUUCUCUUUUUCCCUCCUAAAACUUUUCUAGAACUAACCCUCGAUGGAAGACACUAUAUACUUCGCAGUCGGAUUUAAAUCCUACGAUGUCACACGAACACCCGGAACAGCAGGUGAUUGGUAUGACUGGACAGAAAGAAGCAGGAACUUCGUCACAAGAACAACCUUCAACGCCAAAGCAUUGGAAUGGAUCUGUCAGACUCUACGGGAGGCCUCAAAAACAAAGGGGAAUACGGUGCGAAGAUGGAAGAAAAAGGAUGCUUUCUCAGAGAUUUAUUGUGCCAGAAAUUACAACAAGUAUGGAAGGUACAUUAGCUUGAUAAACAUCAAAGGCAGAAGAAGGGCAGUUAUUAUCAUCCCUGAAAUGACUAUCAACUCAGGAUGGUCAGGAAUUGCAGAAAAGAUUGAGAGAUUUAUCAGCAGCCAUAAACACGUGGGGAACCGAGGAGUACAUAGGUUGGUGGAUAAGAACAUACCGUAUGCAGAAAUUCUAAAGAGCAUUAAAUGGGCAAACAAGGGGAAUAUUGGUUCUAGGGAAGAGGGAAUACUCAAGAGGGGAGAUAGAAUCUGCAUUAAUGAUAAUGCAAACUCAUACAGUGAAGUUUUAAAGAAGAGUUUAGUGGGAAAAUUUGUAUACAGUAAAGGCGAAGCCCCAACCCUUGCAGAUAUCAGAAGGUGGACAAAUGACCUUUGGAAGCAGACUUAUGGCUUGAAUAUCUACGAGAUGGGAAACGACUACUUCUUAUUUGAGUUCUCCUCCAUGAUCACAGCAGAACAAGUAGUUGAAGGUAAUUGGAGUUGGAGGAACUCUCCAGUGCUUUUCCAAUGGUGGAAUCCGACGAUAUGUACAUCAUUGGAGACAGAGAGAGCUAGAACAACAUGGAUCAAAAUCGUUGGUAUGCCCCUUCAGUUUUGGUCCCACGGGGUGUUCAAAGCCAUCAGUGAUUUCUGCGGAGGAUGGGUCGAAACAGAGGAGGAAACACAACUACGAAAUCACCUAAAAUGGGCGAGAAUCAAGGUCGAAGGUGAUGGCACCAAAGUACCUAAAGAGGUCACGAUAGACGAUGGAAACCUCCAAUUCACGAUGCAAAUCUGGACUGAAAGUCCUGCAAGGGUGUUCGCCGGAGAAGAACAGAGCCAAAAAAUCCCUUCGAAAGUGGAUAUUACCUAACGGUCCAAAAUAUUUGUACCAAAGGAUCGUGAGUUGCAUCGUACUUUGGACAGUGAUAUGUCAGCCGCAGCUGGACAACCACGUGCAAAUACAGAGACACGUGAGGAGGGUUCCAAGUUUAAAUUAAUGGGCCAAGACCGACUUGUAGGUCAUGACCCAACAAUUAACUUGGGCCUCAAUUGUAAAGGUGGGCCGUUCAUAAUCCCUCAGACAAAGGAGAAAGCAUGUGAGGGUCACGUGACUUUUAAUGAAAGGGCAAAGGAGGGCCUGACUAAUCUUAAGACCCUGGCUACGCAAUUCCUCGAAGCUUUUAGUUCCUGGGAAUCGUCGUCAGUGGUAAACUUGGUUGAACAGACACCAAUUUCCAAACAGAGAGAGGCAUACGACAUUCAACAGGGGGUAAUGGCCCAAAACAGAUUAGAUAAAAAUCUGGGAAAGCAAUUACAAGAGGUCGGGGAAGGCUCAAAGCCGCCGGAAAAUUUCAAAGCUGGACACAGUAUGCAGAUACAACAGAUUCAUGAUGUCGAACCAGUGUCUACCAAUAUGCCCGAGAUUCGGCAAGAUCAAGAGGGUGAGGCAUCACAAUGGAUCAAUGCCCAUAUCAUGGAACUGAGUGCCGCAUAUGGGGUUGCUUUCGAAGGAUUUAGGGAAGAAACACAUGCCCUACUGAUGAGAUUAGAUGAGAGAAAGGCAGCACUGGAAAACAAGAAUUCUGAUAGUUCAAAUGCUACGCCCAGAAAUAGGGGAAUUGGAAAAAACGAGCUCAAAAAUCUGCAGUCCUGUCUGAACAAAGAAGUGGAGGGAUCCAGAACAAAAGGGAGAGUCUUGAGUUUGACUUUCAAAUGAAGGUAAAAUUACUAUCUUGGAAUGUAAGGGGGAUUAACAAUAUUUCUACAAGAAAUCUUGUUAAAAGUGCUAUGCUCAAGUGGAAAGCAGAUGUUUACUGCUUCCAGGAAACAAAGGUGAAUAAAGAUGUGGAUAGCUUUGCCAAACAUCUAUGGCCCAGCAGGUGGAUGCGUUGUGGGUAUUUGGAAGCUGAUGGAAGCAAGGGGGGGAUCUUGAUUAUGUGGGAUCGCAGGGUGUGGAAAGGUAGCGUAGUGGAGACAGGGCAGUUUUCAAUCACCUAUAAAUUCAAAGCAGUGCAUAAUUCUUUUAAUUGGUUUCUCACUGGUGUAUAUGCUCCUCACAUCAGAAGUGAGAAGCUAGAGUGCUGGGAAGAAGUAGCAGCGGUUAAAGAAUUAUGUGAAGGACCUUGGGUGACGUGUGGCGAUUUUAACACAGUCAGAACUAUGGCAGAAAGGAGAGGCUGUAGCAGAAUCACUAAUGUAAUGACCGACUUCUCCAAGUGGAUAGAUGAAAUGGAGCUACAUGACCCUCAUCUAUGCGGGGGAAACUUCACAUGGUUCAGAGGGCCAAAUCGUCACAGUGCCGCUAGAUUAGACAGAUUUCUUUAUUCAGUAGAAUGGGAGGAGUUUUUCAAGAACAUUAAACAGAUGGUCAUGCCUAGAGUGACGUCUGAUCACUGUCCUAUUUUGCUACAAUGUGGUGACUGGGGAAAACAGAAACCCUACUUCAAGUUCGAGAAUUGGUGGCUUGAGAUAGAGGGUUUCCGAGAACAAGUACAGGAAUGGUGGGAUGAAUUUGAAGUGAUGGGAUGCCCUGAUUAUAUACUUAGCAAGAAGCUAAAGAUGCUCAAGCCAAAAAUCAAGGAAUGGAGCAAGCGAGUCUGUGGUGAACUAGGAACCAAGAAGAACAACCUAUUAGCUGAAUUGGCUGAUAUUGAUCUGGCUCAAGAUACCAGGAACCUAAAUGAAGACGAAAUGAUGGUAAGGGCAACUGUCCUAGUAGAACUGGAAAAGCUGGCAGAAAAUGAGGAAGCUAGGUGGAGACAAAAAUCCAGAGUUUUAUGGCUAAAACAAGGCGACAACAACACAAAUUUUUUUCAGAGAAUGGCAACAGCACACAAGAGAUACAAUGCUAUUGACAAACUGUUAGUCAGAGGGGAGGAAAUCAAAGAUCCAGAACAAAUCAAAAUUAGCAUAAUUGAGUUCUAUAAGAACUUAUACACUGAACCAGAAGGUUGGAGGCCAGCUUUCGCGAUUGCAAAUUGCCCCAGAAUCUCCCAGGAAGAUCAAGAGUGGCUGCAAAGGCCAUUUACUGAAGCUGAGGUACUGGGUAUCAUCAAACAGUGUGAUGGUGACAAAGCCCCCGGCCCAGAUGGCUUUACAAUGCGCUUCUACAAGGAAUGUUGGCCGACCUUGAAAGAGGACCUGAUGCAAACAAUACAUAAUUUUCACCAGAACGAGUUUUUUGAGAAGUCUUUCAAUGCUACCUUUGUAGCACUUAUUCCCAAGAAGCAUGGAGCAUAAGAGCUAAAAGACUUCAGACCAAUAAGUCUAAUUGGUGGAGUCUACAAAAUCAUAGCCAAGCUUAUCACUGAGAGAUUGAAGACAGUUAUGGGAACUCUAGUGGACGAACAUCAGAUGGCUUUCUUAAAGGGCAGACAAAUAAUGGAUGCGACCCUUCUGGCAAAUGAGUUGGUGGACUCGAGGGUGAAACAAAACAAACCAGGAGUGCUUUGCAAGCUCGACAUUGAGAAGGCCUACGACCAUGUGAAUUGGGCUUUUCUCCUCAAAGUAUUGAGAGAUAUGGGGUUUGGCGACAAAUGGGUCAACUGGAUUAAAUUCUGCAUAUCCACUGUGAAAUUUUCACUUAUAAUUAAUGGUAAUCCAGAGGGUUUCUUUCAAUCACAGAGAGGUCUGCGACAAGGCGACCCCAUGUCACCUUUUCUGUUCAUUCUAGCUAUGGAAGGCCUAAACUCCAUGAUUAGGAAAGCAAGGGAGAAUGGAUGGAUUAGAGGUUUUUGUGCUAACAUAAAUAUGAACAAUGCUAUGGAGGUAUCUCAUCUACUGUAUGCAGAUGACUCCCUUGUAUUUUGUGAUGCAGAAGUUACACAAAUAAGGCACCUGAGAGCUAUCCUAACAAUCUUUGAGGGCAUUUCGGGACUUCAUGUCAACUGGCACAAAAGCUGCCUCUAUCCAGUGAACCAAGUCCCUAAUAUGCAGACCCUAGCUGAGAAUCUAGGAUGCCAAGUGGCCUCCCUUCCUACUAAAUACCUAGGAAUGCCUCUUGGAGCAAAAAAUAAAGAGCUAGAAGUGUGGUGUGAGGUUCUGGAAAGAAGUGAGAGGAAAUUAGCAAGAUGGAAAAGCCAGUACCUAUCUUUGGGUGGCAGGCUGACUCUUAUAAAAUCAGUCAUGGACAGCCAACCUACCUAUAUGAUGAGUCUAUUCCCUCUACCAGGUAACAUAGAGAAGAAAAUCAACAAGGCUAGAAGAGCUUUCCUAUGGCAGGGCAACAAGGAGAAGAAGGGGUACAAUCUAGUAAAAUGGGAUAAGGUGAUCCUUAACAAAAAACAGGGUGGGCUGGGCAUAAAGAAGCUAGGUGCACAGAAUGAAAGUCUACUGAAGAAAUGGUUAUGGAGAUUCUGUUGUGAAGAUGUGGCACUAUGGAGGAGAUUCAUUUCACAAAAAUAUGGGCUCCAGAAUAGUUGGACCACUAAGGAGGUGACUGGUACUUUUGGAUGCUCCGUGUGGAAAACAAUUAGAAGACUGUGGCCCUCUUUCAUUAACAACCUGAAGUACAGAAUUAGGGAUGGGGAGAAGACAAGUUUCUGGAAUGAAUUGUGGAUUGGGGAAGAGGUUCUGAGGAAUACCUUUCCAGAUCUAUACAUCUUGAGCUUGCAACAGAUGGAUAAGGUGGCACAAGUAUGGAGCCCUCAAGGGUGGAACUUGAUUUUUAGGAGGGCCAUGAAUGAUUGGGAAAUAAAUAGAGUAGCUGAUUUGCUGCAGACUCUAAAUGCUUUCCCAGGAGUAAGUGUAGGUUCUGAUUUGCCAAUUUGGAAACUACAUAGCAAGGGGUCUUUUACCGUGAAAUCAUGUUAUUGGAGUUUGAACUUCAGCCAGACAAUGACAGCAAAAUGGCCUUGGAAACUGAUUUGGAAGGUUAAAAUACCACACAAAAUCUCAUGUUUCAGCUGGCUGGUGGUCAGGAGAGCCUGUUUAACACACGAAGUACUACAGAGAAGAGGUAUUCAGAUUUGCUCUAGGUGUUUUAUGUGUGAGCAAGAGGCAGAGAUAAAUAGUCACUUGUUCAUUCAUUGCAAAACAGCUGUAAAUCUGUGGAACAUGUUCUUCUGUUUACUUGGGAUAAGUUGGGUAAUGCCCAGGACCUCCUUUGAUAUGUUGAAAAGCUGGGAAGGAGUUGGAAGAAGGGGAUCACAAGAAGAUUGGUGGAGAAGUAUCCCAGCAUGUGUUUGGUGGACUUUAUGGAAAGAGAGAAAUGAAAGAUGUUUUGAAGGAAAAGCAAGCUGUUUCCAGAAGAUCAAGAUGAAGAGUAUAAGUCUUUUGUAUUUUUGGUGUAAACAUGAUAUAGUGGGGGAAAUAGAUAGUUUAGUUGAUUUCAAAGGACAAUUGUAAAGCCUCUUAUCUAGUCUUUUAAUCUCGAUGAAGCCCUUUGGGGUUGUAAAUCCCACCCCAUCAGCUUUUGCUUGAUGGGCUUUUUGGUGUGAAUACCAGUUACUAUUAUCAAAAAAAAGUUUUAACGAACAAAAUUGAAUAAAUAGUACGUCAGAUUCAGAUAUACUAAGAAAGCAAGAGAAUUGUGGGGGGAGGUAAUAGGGGGAAGGUGAUUACUGCAGUUAAAAACUUCCAUGAAAGGUGUGUUUUUGAGAAAAGUUUCAACUCUUUCUAUGUGGCUUUGACUCCUAAAAAGAUGUGAGCUACCCAUCAGCCUAAGAUCAUCUUCAAAGUUCUAACUGAGAGGCUCAUAAAGUUUAUGCACAAACUGGUGGACACUCAACAGUUGGCCUUUAUCAAAGGAAGGCAGAUAAUGGAUGCCAUCCUUAUGGCAAAUGAAUUAGUGGACUCUAGAGUCAGAAGCAAUGCACCUGGCAUCCUCUGCAAGUUAGAUAUACAAAAAGCUUAUGACCAUCUUAAUUGGAUGUUUUUGUUGGAGACCCUCUUUAAAAGAGGUUUUGGUGCCAGAUGGUUAAGAUGGAUGAAGUGCUGUAUAAGCACAGUGAAGUUCUCAGUCCUUGUCAAUGGUUCCUCUACAAGAUUUUUCUCUUCACAGAGAGGUUUAAGACAAGGAGACCCCUCAUCUCCUUUCCUUUUCAUCAUUGCUAUGGAGGGUCUAAAUGAUAUGUUGAAAAAUGAAAACUACUCUGGAAAAUAGCUGGUCGAAGGGAUUCAGAGUAUGAAACAGGGUAGGAUCUUUGGAGAUUACCCAUCUGUAGUAUGCUGAUGACACACUAAUCUUUUGUGAGGCUAACAGAGAACAACUCAUGAUUCUCAGGGUGAUUUUUUUCCUUUUUGAAGCAAUAUCAGGGCUACACAUCAACUGGAACAAGAGCUUCUUGUAUCCAGUUACGAGGUCCCUAAUUUAACUUCAUUGGCUAGGACUCUUAGUGGAAGAAUUGGGGAGCUACCAACUAUCUAUCUAGGUAUGCCUCUGUGAGCCAAGAGCAGGUCUAUAGAUAUUUGAAAUGGGGUGGUAGAGAAAUGUGAGAAAAGAUUGGUGAACUGGAAGAGUCUAUACCUCUCUCUUUGGGGAAAAGAUUAACACUCUAUCAAUAGUGUCUUGGAUUCCAUACCUACUUAUAUGAUGUCCCUUUUCCCCAUCCUUGAUGGGGUCAUUGAGAGACUUGAUGCUCUAAGAAGAAAUUUCCUCUGGGCAGGAAUAGUGAAACCAAGAAAUUUCACUUGGUGAAGUCGGAUGCACUGAUUGGGAGUAAACAAGUAGGGGGUCUGGGGUAAGGAAUUUUAAAACCUAGAACCAAUGCCCAUUGAUGAAGUGGCUCUGGAAAUUUGCAUAUAGUGAACAGGCAUUAUGUGAAGGGGUAGUCCAGCUGAAAUAUGAAAUGGAAGAUCUUUGGACCACCAAAAGUGUCACUGGCACUUAUUGAAUCAUCCUUGUCGCCUUUCCCCGUCCAAACCACUGGUGUUGAACAUGAUGAUACCAAGAUAAGAAGAAGAGAGAAUGACUAAAUUGGAGAGUAACCCGACCUUUGUUCCUUCAAUACUCUUUUCUCUUAGUUCCUUCUCCAAAACCAAUCUUCCCUAGCGGUUUCUUGUUAUUUAUUUAUACGUUUUGUCUUAAUGGUGAAAUUGAAAAAUUAUCCCAGCAGACUGGCGUGAGGCAUCAAAACUGAAGUCUAGGCACUAAACUUACAUCGUAAUUGAUGCAAGGCCUCUGUUUAAUUCUGCUCUGUUGCUUAAUACUGGUGUAGAUUUGUUAGGCUCACUGUAAAUAAUCUCUUCUUUAUUUUGCUUUCUUGCUUCCUUGUUGAAGGUUGCCAACAUAUCCUUAAUGUUGAGGAAUACAAUCUUUACCAGUUCCAAAAUAAAAUAAAAUACUGGUAAUUAUAGUGGUAAAAAAUUGUAGUAACCUCCUAAUGGUCUUUUGUGGUACUUUUGUUUAUUGCAUUGCUCCCUGGACUUUCUCUAUUCAGUGUGAUUUUCUUUUUAACCUACAGGGUCUCAUAAGUGGAUCCGCCGAACUAAGGGAGCAAGCAGCUUUAGGUCUUGGGGAGUUAAUUGAAGUGACAGGCGAGAAAACACUCAAGGAGUUUGUGAUUCCUAUCACAGGGUAUGCACCACGGUGUACUAACACAAAUUUUGCACCAGCAUAAAGAAGUUCAUAUAGGCAGAUAUUAGGAUGAUUAUAUUUUGUCUUUUCUAGAUUUUAUAGUCUCAUUCUCUCUAAAGUUACUCAGCAUAUGCUUAACUUCUUUACAAUAUGCUUUCAAUUGCAGGCCCUUGAUUCGUAUUAUAGGUGAUAGAUUUCCUUGGCAAGUAAAGAGUGCAAUUCUGUCGACUCUGAGCAUCAUAAUUCGAAGGGGAGGAAUUGCCCUAAAGCCCUUUCUUCCCCAACUUCAAACAACAUUUGUCAAGUGCCUACAGGAUAACACAAGGUUGGUUCUCUAGGGCUUACCUUGUUUGGCUGGUAGAUGGGGAAAUGAUGUGUUGUAAACAUAAUGCCGCUCUGCCCUGUUUUCUCAUCCUUCCCAUGCCAUCUGUUGCUUCUUGAAGCGAUAGCUUCAGUGUUUUGUUAUUUUUAUUCCUUGGGCUUAUGUAAAUACUAUUAUAGGACAAUACGAUCAAGCGCUGCUCUUGCGCUUGGGAAGCUUAGUGCUCUCAGUACCAGGGUUGAUCCUUUAGUUGGUGAUCUGUUAUCUGGUGUGCAGGUCAUAGUUUUACUUUAUUCUUCUUCUCUACUGUCACACUUUAUCUCUUUCUAAGAAGCAGUGUUUAUUCCAUUAAGUUUUUGGUCAACAGACAUCAGAUACUGGAAUUCGUGAGGCUACUCUAACUGCUUUGAAAGGUGUGAUUAAGCAUGCUGGUGGAAGUGUCAGCAUUGCCUCUAGAACACGUGUCUACACCCUACUGAAGGAUUUAAUACACAAUGAUGAUGACCAGAUAAGAAAUUCUGCUGCAAGUAUACUGGGAAUUGUUUCACAGGUUAGGAUCAUUCUACCCAGGAAAUAUUUAUUUUCCUUUAUAUCCGAUUUUGUUUCCUGUAUUUAGCAGGUUUUUACUUAUUACUGAGGUGCUUGGUAAAAGUUAUUUGGUAAUUUAUUCGAUGGGGAUUUUUGCUCAAAAUAGAGCCGGUUGUAGAUCAUGAAAAUUGUCACUUUUUUUUUAUUUACUCUAUUGCCGGAUGCUUCAUUUAGAAUUGGCCUCUUGCAGUUUCCUCAUUCCUGUGUUCCUUUAGAGGAUAAUAAUCCUUAAACUAUUGCAUUUCUACCCUGUAAUUCGGAUGAAAUGAAAGAGGAACCAUAACUGGGAAGGGUCUUUUCUCAUUCGUGUGCAUCACCCUUUCACAAGUGUUUCUCUAGUAUUUACUUUAUUUCAGAAUUCUUUUUCAUUGGUCAUACAAGAUUGGACAAGAAAUGAUCAUAUCCAACAAAGAUGCAUGUAGCACAACAUUAGGGUAAACAAUUUGAAUGAGAAAAGCUUACUAACAGAAAGUUGCUUGAGGUGGUUUGCCAAUGUGUCCCACACGGACCUCCAAAAUGCUUGUUCCAUAGGCACGACACUUUGAUGAUUGAAGGUGUAAAAGGUGAUUAGUUAGACCUUACUCAAGUGGAGAAAAGUUGCCUCAAAAUCAGUCCGAUCAUUCAUAAUAAAUGCUGAUGUCUUCUAAGAAUAGAACAUAAUGGAGGCAGAGGAUCCAUAUAGGGUACACCAAAUAGUGGAGGUCACAACUGAAUAGCUUUUGUGGCUUAUUAGGUCUGGUUUGUAUGCAAUAGGAAUUGUUGGUCCCAACUCUAUUUUCCAAUAUUUCUUGCUUCAAUCCUCACUACUUUUCUCCAUUUGACGUCAGAUAUGACAAUAUACCCUUCACCAGAAGUGUUUCUACCUACACAAAUUUGAUUGAAUAAUAUGAGAUAUGCAUGCUAAAUGCUCGAAAACUAACAUAAAUCAUGUCAUUAGUACAUAAUAUGCUAGAUGUAAUUUUGAGUCGCAAGUAGACACAUGUGUGCUCUAGAGACCUCUAGUUUAGCCUAAAGACAAAUUAUUUAGUAUUGGAAUGAAAUAGGAUUGAGUUGUGCAGAAUAGAGGGGUUUGUGUUGCCAUUCCCAAACUAGUAAAGACAGAGUCAUUGAUUGAUUCAGUCUACUUCAUGUCUUUGUUCAUAAUGUACUUUGAGUGAUCACUAAUAAGACUGCAGCUCAUGUUUAAAUAGGCGGAUCUUAUUUCAUGUUUUCCUAAUUUUAGAGGUUUGGGUAUGGGUGAUUUGGGAUCAAAAGGAUUUCUUGUCGGAAAAUUCUUAUGAAGUCAAAAAGGGCCAAAUUUUACUAGUUGAGUUGUGUGUUUCUGGUGUUGAGCUCUUUUGUUAGUGCUCUUUUGCUGUGUUCUACUAUGUCUAACUUAUCAUAAAAGCUAGGUCUGUUGAGAAUGGUUGAGAUGCUAAACUGGUGCGCAUAUCACAUUUUCAAGUACUCCUUCUAUCCCAAUUUAUAUGACACACUUAACUUUUUAGUGCGUCCCAAAAAGAAUGUCACCAUUUUGGAAAUAGAAACAAUUUAACUUAAAAGUUUGCCUUUUACCCUUAAUGGAAAGCUUUAUAUCCACACAAAUGGUCGAGUAGUUUAGACUACAAAUUUCAAAAGUCUUUCUUUUUUUUCUUAAACUUUGUGCCAAGUCAAAUGGUGCCAUACAUAUAGGGGUGGAGGGAGUACUUGGUUUGCAUCUCACAGGUGUACCCCUUCUUUCAUAUCUGUUGGUUUUUAGUAAGAAUGUCUUCUUUUCACGGAGACACUUUGGUUGGAGAUAUUGCUUUCCCUCUCAAAUACAUAUUGCUUUAUCCUCUUUCUCAUCUUCACAAUGCUUUCAUUCCAGGAUUUCACCAUUGGUGAUCUAAUUCUCUUUCUCAAAUUUCCUUUUCUUUUAAAGCUUGAAAACUAGAUAGGCAAGUUAUCUUGCAAUCCUGUUAGCUUUUAUUAAGUAGUAAUAUUUAUAACUACUAUUUCCAAUUGUUGGGUAAUCUGCAUAUGGAGGUUUUUUUUACAUGGUAGUCUUUUUUGAAUUUUGUAUAUGCAUGGGAUCUUGACAUACAAUGCUUUUUCCCCUUAUCCUUUUACUCGCGGAUCGUUGUGGAGAUUCAAGGCCUUUGAUCUAUUAGAGGCUUAUCACUAGUGACCUAUUAAUAUACUAAACAAAUAUUUUACUGAUAUGUUGCAUUAAUAGUUCUUUUUUACAGUUGGUCUGAACUUUCUAAAGUAACAACUAAGCUUUCAGUACCAAGCCAUUUCCGAUUGGCUGUUUGAAGACUCAUUGACCAUGUAUGUGCAUGUGAUAGGUGUAAACUUUAUGAUAUAAAAUAAUAUUGUUGAGAUGGUGGAUUUUAUCAGCUCCUUUUAUCUGAGUAGGGUUGCUUUUUAAUACCAGGACUGUCUUGUUGCUUUUAGUAACAAAAUCAUAUGUUGCCUUCUCAAAAAGUUGUAGGAAGAGCAAUCAAAACCAUUUUCAUUCUUCACUUUUCAAGAGAAUUAAGCCUGAGAUUAUCUGAGCUAUGUGAUGAAAGUUUAGGGGCAUUUUACUUUGUAAAUUUAACUAUUGAAGUCUAGGGGGAUUUGUUUCAAAUGAUGCUUUAUUAAGCUGAGACUGAUGUAUCUGUAUAGGUAGACUAGCAGAAAAUGUUUCAGAUAAAGUUGUGUUUGUAUAUUGGAAUUGUGCUGAAUUAAUGGGCUUCUUUCAUAACAUCAGCUUAAAUAAGCUAAGUUCUAGUAGAUCUGUUUGUCUUCUUUUGCACAGACCAAUAGUAGUAUAAUUUAUGUCUCUUAUCAGAAUAGGAAAAGAAUAACAAGUGAGGGAAAAAUACCUUAUCAAAAAAACAAAUAAAUGAGGGAAAACAUGAUUCUAGAUUGCUGCUGAGGGAAACCUUGCUCACUUAAUGUUUUAUAGUCUUUCUUGAAACAGAAUCUGGAUGUACAGCUAAUUAUAUACGACAAACUGAUAGACAAUGAAAUCAUUAACCAAAUUCUUUAUUAGUUACCCUUAUCUCAAAAAAUUAACCAAAUUCUUUAUUAGAUUGAUUUGAUUCUCAGGCAGUCUCAUGGACCUAAAACUGUGUUAUUGAGAUUCUUGUGAUUUAUCCUGCUUUUUAUGAUUCUACAGUACCUGGAAGAUGGACAAGUUGUUGAAUUACUUGAUGGGCUGUCAAAAUCAGCUUCAUCAUCUAACUGGUGCUCAAGGCAUGGAGCAGUACUUACUAUUUGUUCAAUGCUUAAGCACAAUCCUGAUAUAAUUUGUGCUUCUUCGUCAUUCCCAUUGAUCGUAAAGUGCCUCAAAAUCACCUUAAAUGAUGAAAAGGUACGCCUGACAUUUAUCAUUUUGCUUUACAACUUGAAUUUGUUUUGUGAAAAAAUUGCUUUAUUCCAAUUGCCAUAGAAACUUAAUAAUGUUGCUUGAUCCAAUCCCUGGUAGCAAAAAUAAUUCCACUUUGUAUUGCCUUCACUGAAGGGAAUGUGUUUGAACUGAAAAUCAAUGGUUUGGUGCUCUUCUUCUUUCCAUUAAAUAAAUCAAUAAAUCAGUGUUAUAGUCCAACAGAAACUCUUAAAGAUCUUCCUUUUUAUAUCUGAAGCAUUUCUUUCUGAUUGAGAUACUUUUCUAUUUUUUCAAUUUUCUGUACGUCAAACAUCCAAUAUCUGAAGCAUCUCUUUCUGAUUGAGAUACAUCUCUAUUUUAUCAAUUUUCUGUACAUCAAACAUCCAUGAGAGGAUUCAGAUUUUCAUUUUCUUAUUAUAUUAUCUUAACAUUUUAAAAGGUUUUAUUCUGGAGAGUAAAUUGCAGAUGCAAGCAAUGAAACUGGAACUGUGUUGCCAGUGUAAUUUUUCAGAAAGAGUAGAAGUAAAUCUGAUGAUUUUUAUUUGUGAUUGCUUCUUUAUUUGUUAGUUUCCUGUUCGUGAAACAUCAACAAGAGCUUUGGGAUUGCUUUUAUGUCAACAAAUUCAGAGUGAUCCUACAAAUGCUACUUCACAUGUGGAAACGCUGGGAUCCAUAGUGUUGGCUAUGCAGGAUGAUUCAAGUGAAGUCAGAAGACGGGCAUUAUCUGCAUUGAAGGCAGUUUCAAAAGUUCGUGCUUCUGAAAUAUACAAAAUAACCUACAUACAUCAUAAGAUCAGAUGUACACGUCAGUAGGCUCGAUAUUUUUUUUGAAUUAACGUUGGCGUUUUCUGUCAUACAGGCCAAUCCUGGUGCCAUUGCCAUCCAUGUUUCAAAAUUUGGCCCUGUUCUGGCUGACUGUUUGAAGGAUGGAAAUACACCUGUGAGACUUGCUGCAGAGAGAUGUGCCCUGCAUGCCUUUCAAUUGGCAAAAGGUAUUACCUUUGUAUUUUCUGUCCUGUUGCAUCUUAACAUUCUGAUUCUAGUAUAAAUCUCUUCAAUCCUGUACUUGGCCGUAUGUGUUUGCUGUCCUUAUUAAGCUGCUUCUGGUACCUUUGUGUUUUUUACUUAUGCAUUUGCCGAUUUUGUUGUAAUGCUUAGAAAGCUGCUUCUAGUGCUUGCUAAUCCUCUUCAAUAUUACAGUCCUCUGGUUUUGGUAUGGCAAGCGCCUAAAUGAUCCUUUCUUGUUGUUGGCAGGUACAGAAAAUGUUCAAGCUGCACAGAAGUUUAUUACAGGAUUGGAUGCUAGACGAAUAGCAAAGCUCCCUGAACACAGGUGAAAAGUUUUUAAUUACUCCAGAUCUGUUGCUUACUAUUUGCAUAUUGUUUGCCUCUGACAAAUUUGUUUGUUGAUUUAUGGUUUAAUGUCAUACCAUUCACUAGUACAACAUUCUAUCACAGAUUUUCUUCAGCUUCUUCUUUAUCCAUUUUACUGUCACUUCUGUUGUUACUACUUACUCUGGUCUCUUGCAUGAGAUUGAAUUACCAAAGAUCACUAAACUACUUUAAAUCACUAUGGAAGAUACAUCUGCCAUUAAAUUAGUACCAUUUGUGAAAUUAAUUAUGCAAUUCUUCACUCAGUUGCAUGCAAAUCAAUAUAACAGUCCUUAUGUUUUGGGGGUAGGUUUAAAUUAGUCCCUUAAAUAUACUCCCGGGUAAUUAUGAUCCUUAAGCCAAGAGUGGGACUUUUGGUCUCCCCGGAUUGAUUUAAGGGGAAGUGUGGAAAAAGAUUGUAUAGCAACACUGGAAAAGUCCCGUCAAAUCCCAGAAAAAGCACCUCAACAAGACAUCUACUAUUUCUCUUUCUGCACACAGUUCACCAGAUGAAAAUCAUUCUACAUUGCAUCUGGUAGACUGUGGAGAGAGAAAUAGUAGAUGUCGUGAAGAUCAGUCCAAUUCCAUUCAUUAAGUUAAAUGGUGUUGCUGAUCUGUGCACGGUUCAAAACCGGUGGUAAUGGUCCUGCUGCUGUACGCUUUUCCACCUGAUUGUUAAGCUUUUAGUCCACAGCAUCAUUUGAACCACCUUACCAACACAUCAUUCGCAGCACUUCCAACUGAACCAAAUCCCUGGGGGGAUUUAGUCUAUCUUUUAUCUUCUAAGCUGCUUUAUAUUGUGCACUUUUAGCAUCAAUUUUAUUUUCUUGUAUUUGGGCAGCUGUGCCUUCAACUGGCCCAUCAUAUUCUAACUGUUUUCAUGUUGCAGUGAUGAGAGUGGAGAUAGCGAUAAUGAUGCCUCAAGUGGCUGACAAGCUUAUGAUUGUAAAACACUUUUUUGCCUUCAAAGUAGCUAUCCUCAAGGUCGGUGAGACAUGUUAGAAGCGGAAGUUCUGCUUGAGAUUUAAUAUUUAUAGUAACCAACAUACAUAAAGAUGCCUAGGCAAAUAAGGAUGAGUUUGAUAUCUGCCAAAUUUUUGACUCCGGGUAGAUUGUGCUUCCCAUAUCUUUUGUAGUUGUGUAUUAUUGAGAUUGAAUAGCCUUUGAGAAAGGCAGGGAGCUCACAUUCAUGUAUAAAUUUUGUAAAUUUUCUCCACAUAUAGGAAAUUACUGUUUUUAUUUACAUUGAGAUAGUACUCAUUUUUCCUUAUAGUGAUAAGUGAUAACCUUUGUUCUACAAAACAUGCCACUUUGAUACCAUUAUAGAGACAAAGGGGAAGUAAAUUAACAAUAGUGGAAAUGGUUCCUUUCACUGAGUCGAUUCUGGGAUGAAACUUUACUGUUAUAUCAUCUAUUUGCUGGAGGAGUGUAUGUCAUUAGAGUGCAGAUACCAACUUCAGGAAAACUGUUUCCUGAUGGUAAUUUAUGAAGAAAUACCAGACUUUUUGUUCAUGAAUGGCAGCUUAGAGACUUGCUCAAAUGAGGUCAUAUCUCAGCAUUUAUCUUUUUCAUCCUGAGCACUUUAAAUUGACUUGAAAGUUCAAAUUCCCGUUUCCUCAAAAAGGAAUGUGAUCUCAUUUUCCUCAAAAUUAUAUCAAGUCAUAACUAUACAUGUUGCGUUAAUUUAUGUAUCUUAAUCAUUUGUAUGGUUGGUAUUGUUGGGAUUUCCCUUUUUAAUCAGUUGAUUGAUAGUAGUAAAAAUGCUGAAGUUAGUAUCUUGCAAGAAUUAUCUCUCUAUUGAGGUCAUAUUUUACCUAUAAUAGAAUGAAAUAUUUGUGUGCAUAGUCCAGUCAUUAGUUGAAGGCUUGAAGCUAACGGAUGCUAACACCAUCAGUAGCAUUUGCCACUCUUUCUGUGCUUUCAAUUUGAAAAUAAUGAUCAGCCCAAUUAUAUUGCUAAUCAUCCGUAAUAGUGGGAAUGCGUUCACCUAAGAGAUUACUCUUUGGGUGUUGAGAUGGAGGAAUAUAUUUUCAAUUUUUAAAUGUUCGGUUGAUCAAAUUUUUUGAAAACAUUCUCGAAGAAAAUAAGUUUAUUAACAAUUAUUUUACAAGUGACAUUCUACAAUAUCCUAUUGGAAGUUUCAUCAUUUACGGACAGUAGUGUCAUAAGAAAUACAACUGAAGCAAGAGAUGAUACAUUCUAUAUUAUCGAGAAGGUGGGAAUUUUACUACAGGUGAACAAUGAAGAGAGAGAAUUGACAAUGGAAAAGGAUCAAGUGAAGGAGGUUUCAAACAACAUGGGUGAAAGAGUUGAGGAAGUUAAUAAGGUAGAUGAUGAUUGGACAAUCAACAUCAUAACAAUAAAUAAUAUUAUUAUUAUUAAUUAAUAAUCUAUAUAAAAUGUAGAUUACUGGAUAUUAAGAUAAUAAGUGCUAAUUUAAUUAUUUCUUAAAAAUAUUUCUAGAAGAUGUACAAAAUAAUAAUUAAAAAAAUAUUGUUUACACUAAAUACGAACUCAAUUCACAAAUUUCAGUCUGGUAUUUUAAGUUAUAAAUGACACAAUAAAAAUGAAAAGCUAAUUACAGUAUCACAAAGGAAAAUAAAAUACAUGCGAAUUUUCAGUUUGGAUAUUUAUUCAAAAAAUUAUCUCCAAAAUAAUAUAAUUUUAAUUUGAUAAAUAAUUAUAUCAAAACUGUCACAUAAAAUUGCCAAAACCAAAAAUUGAUAGCUAUAUAUUAUUAAUAAUUUGCAGAUUUUAUAAAAUUUUUUUAUUAAUUACAAAAAUACUAAGAAAUUACAAACACGCGUAAUCCUAAUUAAAUUCCCUUUUUUUAUAACUAUCCUUAUUAAUCUCAACAACAUUCUUUAUAGGGAUAAGAUAAUUUGCAACUAUUCUUAUUAAUCUUAACAUCAAAUAAAUGUAUACUUAAUUUUUUUUAUAUGGUUAAUAAUUUUGAAAUUAAAAUAUUUUGAUCUCAAUUUGUGGUGUAGUUAUUAUAAUAAUUAUAUAAUGUAACAAUAAUGUGCGAAAAUCAUUUUUUCGGUUGAUAAUAUUCAAAAGCUAUGCACAUAAUAUUAAACAAAAAUAUUAUUAUAAUUAGUAAUGAUGAUUUUUUUUAAAAUUAAAUGGUUAUCCCCUUCUAAGUGGCAAUCUAAUAUCAAGACACUUGAUAGUUUAAUAACAACGUACAAAUUGAUAAAAAAAAACUUAUAAACAACAAAAUUAACUAUUUGAUUAGAUAAUGAAUUAAAAAAUGUCAUGAUAAAAAUAAAUAAGUAAUCAAAAAAAUUACGAAAAAAGAAGAAAAGGAAAACUGUAAUAAAUGAAUAGUUAAAAAUAUGUAGGUAAAAUAUUUUUUUUAAAAUAAGUUAAAGAUUAAAAAAAAAAAAAAAAAAAAAAAAAAAAAAAAAAAAAAACUAACCUAAAUCAUCCCUAAAAUUCCUUACCCACUUACCUAACUACCCUAAUCUAUUAAAACUCAACUAUAUAUAUUAAUCUUCUACUUAUACAAUAGGAAAGACAAAAGAAAUGUUUCAAAUCAGUAUUUUGUAAAUAAAAAAAAUAUGUCAUCAACAGAAAUGUUUUUGAAUUAUCAUUUCUUAAAAAGAAUAAAUUGAAAAUAUAAUAAAUCUGUAUUUUACAAAAUAGUGUCACAUGUCAUCAUUAAAAUAAUUCUCAAAUUUUUAGUAUUUAAAAAAAAUAAUAUCUCCAAGAAAAUUAUAAUUAUAAUUUGAUAAAUAAUUAUGUAAAAAUCUGUCACAUAAAACCGCCACAAACAAAAACUAACAGUUAUAUAUCAUAUAUAUUUAUAUAAAAGAGAACCCUAGGCCCGCCUACGUGGCACCACCACAAGUCAGGAUUCCCUUUUAAAUUUAUUUAUUUCCAAAACUAGCCUUCCCCUUUUAAUGAAAAUUUGUGAUUUUUAUGAAAAGUUGCGACUUUAAUGAAGAGUUGCGACUUUUAUGAAAAGUUGUGACUUAUAUGAAAAGUUGUGACUUUAAUGAAAAGUUGCGACUUUUAUGAAACGUUACGACUUUUAUGAAAGGUUGUGACUUUCUGAAAGGUUGCAACUUUUCCAAAUAGCUGUAACCUUUCUGAUAAGGCACAAUAAACAUUUGUUCACACUACCCUUUGUUGUAUAUAAAUAGAGCGAUUUUCACUCAUUUUAAAACAACAAAAAUUUUGAACCUCCUCCUCCUCUUCUUCUUCUUCACAAUUAAAUUAAAUAUUCGUGUACUUUGCUCCAGUUGAGUGACUCACUGACACCAUUGCUUAUGUUACAGCUCUUGGUAUGUUUUUUUACAGUUAUUAAUUUAUUCUUAUGUUAUUAAGAAUAAAUGAUAAAAUGUUACAAUUUUCAUUUUCAUUAUUAAUGUUUGUUACUACGUAAUCUUGUAUGUAAGAUAAUAUAGUGUUUUAGUUGUAAUGAUGGAUAGGCUUUAAAUAUUAUUUUAUAAACUCCAUGAUAUUGAAUUCCUGCGCGAAGCGCGGGUAAUUUUACGAGUAUAUAUAUAAAAGAGAACCCUAGGCCCGUCCACGUGGCGCCACCACAAACCAGGAUUUCCUUUUAAUUUAUUUUAUUUACAAAACUAGCCUUCUCCUUUCAUGAAAAGUUGUGACUUUUAUGAAAAGUUGCGACUUUUAUGGAGAGUUGCGACUUUUAUGAAAAGUUGUGACUUUUAUGAAAGGUUGUGACCUUUCCGAAGGGUUGUAACUUUUCCAAAGAGUUGUGACCUUUCUGAUAAGACACAAUAAGCAUUUGUUCACACUACUUUUUGUUGUCUAUAAAUAGAGGAAUUUCCUCUCAUUUUAAAAUAAUGAAAAUUUUGAGCUUCUUCUUCUGGACAAUUAAAUAAUUGUGUGUUUUGCUCCUGUUGAAUGACCCACUGACACCAUUGUUUUUGUAUCAAUACACUGGUGGAUGGAAUCAUUAUAUCCUAAGAGGAUCUAUUCCUUUAAAUCUCGGGUACUAGAGGGAAUAAUUUCCUUAAGGGGACACAAUGCAUUCAGUGGGCUCGAUUUUUUCCAUUCUGUUUCAUUCUAUUGUUAUAGAUCCUGGUAUGUUUUUUACAGUCAUUAAUUUAUACUUAUAUUAUUAAUUGUUAUUUUUGAGUACAUGCUUUAAAUUUUGUUGUUUAUGUUUCUGCAAAAUUAUUGUUACAAGUAGUUGUUAGUACAGAUUAAAUAACAAAUGUUAAUUGAGUAUUCAAACAAGUUUUCUCUACUGGAAUUAUUGAAGGUACAAACAAAAAGCCCUUACAAAUCUCUAAUUUCUUCAUCAACAACGUCAUUUCUUCACAUACAAGGAUGAGAUUUUGUGUUCUUUAGAAAAUCCUCUUAGAGUUAAUAACUUUGCAUGCCCAUAUUUUUUGUUUUUAUGUUGUUGUUAUCUAUUUUUACUAAAUUUUAUCAGUGGUAUUAUGAGUACUUUAAGGAAUGAAAGUUGAUUGAAGUGUUAGUCAAUUUUUUGAGGUAUGUUAUUUCAAAACCUGAGAACUUUUCUGGUAUGAAUGAUUUGUUAUCAUCAUUGGAUAUCUCAUAGUUUACUCCCUUUGAUGUAUGUUUUUUUCUCGUUGUUUUGUUGUCUCCUUAAAAUUAUAUUUGAUUAUUUUUCGUUUGGUAUGUAUAUGAUCUCACUUGGAAAAAACUUUCGUCCUUUUAAUGUUUAUCUUUUUUUCCUUCUCAUUCAGCUCUUCUAAAUAUUUUUGGUGUGAGUUAUGACUAGUUUUGGCAAGCUUAAUUUGAAGAAUAUGAAACAAAACCUGCUCUAAAUAAAAGUAAUAUAUUAAGCUACAAAAGAUAUGUCUAUAAACGUAGAUUUGUUGUCCUUUAUGUCCCAAGUCAUUGCUGAGCAUUUGAGUAAUCUAGGUUAGACUCAUUUUUAAUUUUUUAAUGUUCUAGAAUAUUUCUUUAACAUGAAUCUAGAAUCCAACAUUUUGAUCUACUUGUACUUUCAUAAUGCAACAAUUAUACAUACAUAUUGAUGAAGCAUUGAUGAAGCAUCUAGAAGGGCCUUCAGAGCAACAGUUUAAUGAAAAAUGAAUUUUUAAAAGGGUCAACAAUAUUAUUUUGUUAUUUUUUCACAUUUAUUUUUCUCCUUCUAUAAAUUUUGUUAGAGUAACAAAGUAACAAUCACGAAAUGUGGUGAACGUUUGACCUCAGACAAGCAGAUUGUCUUUAAAAAAAUUAUUUAUGUUGCUGUGUUGUACAUUUUUAACGAUCUUAACUUAUUUAUAACAAUUAUUGAUUAUCGAAAACGUUUACAUAUUUUUUUCACAAGGAGUUAUUCUAACCAUAAAAUUAUCAGAUUCUAUAUUUUUCAUGUACAAAAAAAUAGAAAAAAUGAUGUUUAAUCGCUACAUAAAAACAUCACUCAAUUUUAACAAGACAAUUAUAUCAUCAAACAUAUAUUAUGAUAAAUUAUGUAAAAGAUAAAAAUGAUUAGAUAUCAAGAUAUUUUUAAUCAUUCAUAUACAUUUACAAUUCUUGAGAUAUGUGAUAAUGUCAAAUCAUAUAAUUUCUGUUGAAAUGUUCUUAAAACCUACUAAAAUUUACUUUUUUUUUCUUAUAAUAGUCGGUUAUUGGAAAGGUUGUUCAAAAGCUUAGAAAGAUUAUUUAUGCCCGCGCAAAGCGCGGGUAAAUUACCUAGUUAUUAAUAAUUUGCAGACUUUUUAAAAAUAAUAAUUUAUUAAUUAAAAAAACCAAGAAAUUACAAAUCAACUAAAUGCACGUAAUCUACUCUCCCAUUUCUCUCCCACUUCAUGUAAACUAUAUUUAUUAAUUAAUUUGUCGAUUUUUAAAUCUUUUAAACUUAUCAAUAAAAAUAAUAAUUUUAACUUUCUUUUUUUUGUUAUAUAAAGAUAAGAUGAUUUGUAACUAUCCUUAUUAAUCUUGACAAAAUUCUUUUUCAGUGAUAAGAUAAUUUGCAACUAUUUUUAUUAAUCUUAACAUCAAAUGAUUUUUUAAAUUUUAUAUUUAGAAAAAUAAUUUUGAAAUUAAAAUAUAUUGAUCUCAAUUUGUAGUGUAGUUAUUAUUUCUUUAGCAACCUAACAUAUUGAGAAGAUUUUCAUAAAAUGGAUGAUGACUUUGAAAGUGCUAUUUUCUUGUUUUUGUUUUUAUUUUUAUCAACUUUAUUCUUAUCAUUUCUAAAUUUUCAUUUAUAUCUUACAAAAUCUCUCCACAUGUAUUUAGAUCUAAGAUAAUAUUGUUUUCAAAAUUUUGAAUUAGAAUUGAAUAGCAUGUUGAUGUUGGUGGUGCUUAUAACUUGUAAAAUUUAUCUAAUUAAUAUUAAAAAUAAUAUAUUAAUUAUUUAUAUAAAAUUAGCUUAGAAGUUUUUAAUACUAAAUUCUUAAAUUAUCAGACAUUGUUAAGUUAUAUGUAUUUAUUAAAGAAUAAAAUCUACAACAUAUUUAGAGAGGCGAAACAAAUCUAAAAAUUCCUAAAAUAAAAGAAGAGACUUGGUAAAUCAAAGAAGUGGACGAUGAUCCAUUUUUUCAUCUUUCAAUUUUUUCUUUGCAUUGAAAAAAUAAUUUAUUUUUAUUUGGUAUAAUAUUAAUUUGAUAUUUAUUUUUAUGUAGUAUAUAUUAUUUUGUUCAUAAUAUCUUUAUUUAAUUAAUCACUCAAAUUUAGUAUUUUGUAUAUUUUUAUUUUAUUAAAUUGUAUUAGAUUAAAUGAAAAUUAUCUUAUUUUGUAGGAUUGAACGAGAGAUGAGUGCUAAAAAGGUUGCAACAUGCUUUGUAAAUUAUAUUUAGAUUUUAGCUAAAAGUAGAUACAAAAUUUUUAAUACUAGAUUUUAGAUUGAUCUAUGAAUUUGUAAAUUUAAUUAAUUAACACAAAUAUCAAUUGAACACACCAGAUAUGCUAUAUAUUCAUCUUCAUUAUACUAGAAGAAAGAGAAAUUGUUAGAAUAACAUUUAUUGUCUUUGAAGAACAUACACUUAUAGCACAUAAAUUAGUGUAAAAUUUUGUUAGCAUUACUUAUAUAUAUAAAAUUAAAACGUUAUUUUUUAUUAUAUAUGCACUUUUGUUACUCAAUAAUUAUUUGUUUUUGUUAUUUCUAAAUUUAAUUUUUUUUAUAUUUUAAACAUCUGCGCAACGCACGGGUACGUAUACUAGUCAUCCAUAAUAGUGGGAAUGCAACCACCUAAGAGAUUACGCUUUGGGUGCUGAGAUGGAGGAAUAUAUUUUUAAUUUUUUCAUGUUCGGUUGAUCAAAAAUUUUGAAAACAUUCUCUAAGAAAAUAAGUUUCUUAACAAUGAUUCUACAAGCGACAUUCUACAAUAACCUAUUGGAAGUUUCAUCAUUUACGGACAAUAGUGUCGUAAGAAAUACAACUGAAGCAAGAGAUGAUACAAUCAAUAUUAUUGAGAAGGUGGGAAUUUUACUACAGGUGAACAAUGAAGAGAAAGAAUUGACAAUGGAAAAGGAUCAAGUGAAGGAGGUUUCAAACAACAUGGGUGAAAGAGUUGAGGAAGUUAAUAAGGUAGAUGAUGAUUGGACAACUCAACAUCAUAAUUUUACAGUAAAUAUUUGUCACGAUCAAAAAAUUGGGUGGGAUGACACAUGCCUUAUCCCACUAAGAAUAAAUGCGAAAGUAAGAAAGAAAUUAAGAACGAAACAUAAUAUAAACAUGUGAAACUCAUAAUAUAACACUAUCUUCCCCAAAAUAUGGUGUCACUUGUACAAGCUUUUAAGUAAUACAAUAGAUUCAAAAGAUAUACAAGUCUGAAUGUCUACAAUACUAGAAUAGUAUAAAAACAUAAUCAAAAGUAUGUGAUGGUUGUCGAGACGCUAGCAGCAAAGGUAAGCCUUAGAGGAAGUUGCAGGAGGAAUGAUUAAGAUGAACCAGGCUCGUAAAUUACACAAGUAUAGAAAGCAAGGGAGUGAGUAUCAAACAACAACAAUAUUUAGCAAACAUCCCUUGCUAACCCUAAAUAAAGUAAUACCAAACACAAGUACCCUAACACACUUUUCGAACCUCCACAUACUACAAUCUGCAUAGAAAACAGUCCAUUCCAACCUAAAAAUUUCACAAGUAAUAGAGAAGCACAAUACAUGUAAUACACCAUAAUUAGCACAUCAAAGUAUUCAUAACAUUAUCGUGAUCUUUCAGAUUCAAAUAACCACGAACAGGGGUAGAGCCACCCCCCUAUGUCAAUGGGUGUCUACCGACACUAUUUCAUUGAAAGUUUUUAGUAUUAUAUAAAUAAUACUACAAAUAAUAUUGAUGACAUUGCUUGAACAAGUGAGCUUCUUGGCUCGUUGGUUUGUAAGGUGAACAAAAUCGUCAUUCUUUGCAGGAUGACCAAGUUUGAACCUCAGCGAGGCCAAAUUUGGCAUUUAUUUUUUGGGCGUUUUUAGAGAAAAGUUUAAUAUUAGAAGGAUUCAAACCACCAACCUUCUAUUCCUAGUCAAAUUAGGCUAAAAUAAACUAGUUGAAUGACACCGCUUAUAUCAAUAUCUAUUCUUUAUUUAUUUUAAGUAUCGACAUCGCUAACAAAAAUCUUACGUACGCCACUGAUCACGAACAUAACAAUUCACUCAGAAAGGUCAAAGGAUAAUGAUGAAGUACAAUACAAUAUAAUACAAAUGACAUACAUAGUGAUGCAUGAUUGUCUUAUCGAUACACACCUGCUGCCUAGCAACACGGGACCCAUGGGGGACAUAUGAGUCUAUGCAUCCGACAAAAUCAUUUCCAUCUGCAUAAUUCACUCGUCAGAAUCAUUUUACAUUAACAUAUUUCAUUCAUCGGAAUCAUUUUCCAUCGACAUAAUGCAUUCGCCAGAACUAUUUUCCAUCGGCAUAAUUCAUUCAUCAAAACUAUUUUCCAUCACAAUAGAACACUCGCUGGAACCAUUUUUCAAUGGCAUAAUUCAUAAUAGUGUCUCAGAACCAGUGCAAAUAAGUAUGUUCAUAUGCAAAAUGAGAGGAUAAUAGAUUCCAUACCAAUAACCAAUCACUACAAUCAUGACACAUUAUAAAAAAUGAGUCAAUAUGAACAUCCAAAUCACUCGUGGCACAUCACACAUUAUCAUAUCAACGAAUUCAUCUUUUUAUCCUCACAUAAUCAUUCAAAAAAAUUGUAAAAUAAUUGACAAAAAAUAUGAUAUACGAGAACCUUCAUCAUUCCCCAUUACUUCCAAAUAUGCAACAAGUCAUACAAGGUUUAAUACACUUAACAAAGGGUCAAAGAGGUCAACUUGCCUUGAAAGAGAAUAAAAUCAACUCGACACUUGAGCAUUCCCUUCAUGAUGAGUCUCUGACUCCACAUAAUCUAAUUAAAUAUAAAAUCUCUAUAAUAAAUCAUGAACAACAACACCUAUAAAGUUGAUUUUGAAAAUCAUGUCCAAAUGGAUCCAAAAGGUCAUUUCUAAGGACUAAAGAUAGUUCUGAAAUUUUAUGAAAAAUUAUAAUACCCAACGAAUUUGAAACUCAUGAGUGAAAUAGAAUUGAAAGACGAGUUAAAGCUAUUCGUGAAACUCUAAUUUACUUAAAAUAUGUGUUCAUGAAAAAGGCGCUCAAUACUUGAGUUCAAAAAUAAUGAUUCGAUGUCAAAAUUAUGAAGAAGUAAAUGGGUAAUGAAGAGUUUGGGGUUAAAGUCACUUACCCAAUCAAUAAAUCUUGAAAACCUUCUUUCAAAUCGCCACUCUAGAGUUCUCCAAGUCCAAAAAUGGUGAAAUGAAGAAAAUACCUCGAUUUUAGAAUUCAUUAAACUAUCUAGUAAAAUGUUCUCCGCGAACGCGACCACCCUUCCGCGAUCACAGAGACCAAGAAACCUAACCCUUCAUAAACGCAGGCAAGGCUCUGCAGACGCAAAGGCCAAAUAGCUCAGCCUUCUGCGAACGUGGUCUUGCGAUCACGGAGGCUAGACCACCUAACCUUUGCAACGUGGACAAACUUUUGAGAAUGCGAAGGAGGACAUCGGAUGACAACAACACAAGGCACAAAACAUUCACGGAAUAACCCAUGGGAUUCGUCGAAAUUUCGUCCACACAAACAAGAUAUGCUACCAAACUAAAAUCGACGUUUCAUACUCAAUGAAAUCAUCUAAACAUGGAUUCAAGGUCUUCUUGACCCGGCAUCCGUUAAAGUCAUUUAAGCUAACUUUCACUCAAAAUUAUCAAAUUGUUCUGAGUACCUUUGUAAAAAUGAACCAAGACCUUACCUGGGCCAAAAAUCAUCUCCUGAAUCCAAUGCAAUCAUCUAAAAUCGAAUCUAAACUUCCAAACACGGAAUGUUAACUAAAUUCAACGGUUAUCCUAAAAUCAAACAUCCAAUUCUAAAGUUCAAGUCCACAUAAAGACUUUGCAACUAAGAGCUACAACACUCCUAGACCAAAUUCUGGAUUUAGGAGAUGAUGAAACUAACAUAAUUCCAUUCUUAUACUCGUAGCUCCGUAUAAUGACUAAAAUUCUAAACCUCCUCUUCUUCUUCACAAUUAAAUGUUUGUGUACUUUGCUACUGUUGAGUGGCUUACUGACACCAUUGCUUAUGUUACAGAUCCUAAUAUGUAUUUUUACAGUCAUUAAUUUAUGCUUAUGUUAUUAAGGAUAAAUGAUAAGAGGUAAUAAUUUUCAUUUUCCUUUACAUUAUUAAUGUUUUGUUACUACGUAAUCUUGUAUGUAAGACAAUAUAAUGUUUUAGUUUUAAUGACUAGUAGGUUUUAAGUAUUAUUUUAUAAAUUCUGAAAUACUAAAUUUCCGUGUGAAGUGCGGAUAAUUUUAUUAAUAUUAAAAUAGGUUAGUAGGAAUUAUUACUUUUAAUACAUAAUUAAUUAAUUUAGAAAAGAAAAUAAAGAGAAGAAAGGAACGAGCCUGUGCAUCGGCGGCACAUAGACAAAGAGGAACGGAGAACGUAAGGUCAUCAGGUAAUCGUCCAAACCUUUGUAUUGUUGUAUAUAUAUGAUAGAUAUCAUAUUAUUAUUUUAUUAUAAUUGUUAAAGAAAAAGAGAAACAAUUAAAUGGGUUUUAAUUUAGAAGAAUUGAAAAUUUAUUUACUAUAUAGGCCGUCUUUUUAAUGGAGAAAAAGGGUGUGAUGGCCAAUCAUUAUGUAAUGAUUUAGGACAUGAUUAGUCAAUGAUGAUUAAAUUAGUAAAUAGAAACAUAUGGUGUUUCAAUGUAAGGUUUGGAAACAGCAAGUGUUCUCACCCUAUUAUUCGUAAUUUACUUCGCUGUUUUCUUUUGAUUUUCUUAUUAUUAUCGUAUUAUGAUUCAAGUUUUGAUAUAUUGGUAAUGUAAUUAAGUGUUAGGUGAAUGGUAUUACGUGAAUACCCUUCGAUUUAUGAUAUUGGAAAGAAAUUGAGACUUAACCCUAGGCUUGAAACUUAGGAACUUGAUUAUAGAUUUGGGUAAGUUUUUUGGUCUAGACUAGACAUAUUAUAAUAUGGGCGUUGUUGGGUUAGAAAUCUUACUGUGAUUAUUACGUGAAUAGAUUGCAUUGAUUUGGAAGCUCAACGAAAAGGGAAGGCUCACGUCACGGAGUGAAUUGUUGAUUAAUUGAGGCAAGUGGAUUUCUAAACCAUUAUUAAGUGUAUGAAAUUUGUGUAUUUUCUUGUAAUAUGUAUUUGGGGGUAAUGAGACUUGGUGAUGGGUUGACUUGUACAUAUCGAUUAAUUCUAAUGAUGAAAAUAGGGUAAUAAAAGCAAUGUGAUUAAUUGUUGGUGUGUGAUGUGUUGAGAAUGGUUUGAAAGACUUGUUGACUCAUUGUUGAUGUUGUAUCACGAUUGUGUUGUUGUGAAUUGUGCAUUAUUAUGAAAAUGAUCAUCUCCUCAUUAUUUGUGUGGACAUGUCAUUUGCAUUGUUCUGAGACAUGAUUGUGACAAGUGUUAUGUGAAUUGGGAAAGAGUAAGAAAUUAAAGAGGAUAUACCAUUUCGAGGGACGUGUCACGCGCCGUGACGGAUACUAUAUUUCGAGGGACGUAUCGCACGUCGCGAUGAAUUCUAUUAUCGAGGGAUGUGUCGCGUGCCGCGACGGAUGCAUGGACAGAUAUGUCCCCCAUGGAUCCCAGACUGAGAGACAGCGGGUGUGUAUCAUUAGGUCUCUACAUACAUCACUAUACUUGACAUUGCAUUGCACAUCUUUAUCAUUGAUGAACUUAAUCUUGUGUGUUGCUGAUCUUGUGAGUGCCUUUCUGUGGAACUUAUGAUUGAUGAACAUUGAGCUUGUUGUUGAGAAUAUGAAAUUGUUAGAGUGUUGUUGUUGAGCUGUGUGCUUUGUAAAUUGUGAAAUGUUAAGUUGGACUGAUUUUAUGCAGGUUGUAGUUGUGGAGAUUCGGUUGGGGGUGUAAGGAGUACCCGUAUUAUAUUCCCUUAGCUUGUGUUUAGAAGUUUACUUGUUGAGUACCGUGUGGUUUGGUACUCACCCAUUGCUUCUACAAUUUUUGUAAGUUACGAGCCUGGAUUUUUGUGAUACUUUCCAUUCACUUCAUUUCUGAGGCUUCUUGGAGAUUUGUGAGGUAGUUGUUUGUCAUUUCAAUAGACCUUCUUACUUUUAUUUAUGAUCUUGUUCAAUUCUAGAAACAAUGUCAUUUGAGACUUUUGUUUUCUUUUGAAUCAAUUGUAAUACAUUAGAGGCUUGUACACGGGACAACCAGAUUUUGGGUUUUUUUUUAUUAAGUUGACUUAGUUAUCCGCACUUAUGAUAUUUUAAGGUUUCAAUUUGUCUUAUUUCCGCAUUUUUGUGAUGUUUGGAUUUUAGGCUGACUUGUCUUGGUGGGAUAAGACGAGUGUCAUCACGUCCAUUUUUGGGUCGUGAUAAAAUGAUAUCAGAGCCUCGGGUUCAUAGGUCUCAUGUGUGUAUGAGUCGAGUCUAAGUAGAUUCUCGAGGAUCGGUACAGAGAUGUCUGUACUUAUCUUCGAGAGGGUAUAGUGACUUUUAGGGGAAAAAUGCACUUCUUGGAUCUCUAUCGUGCAUUAGUUCCUCAUGUGAGCAGUUGGUGUGUCGUAUAUGGCUUGAAUGUUAGACCUAGUACUAAAGUGAAAGUGAUAAACUUAUGGAAAUGAUGUGUGGUUAGAUUAAGAAUGUUCAGCAAUUUGAAAGGAUUGAGUAAGGCUAUGACUCGAUGAUGCAUUUUGAGGAUAUUUUAAUGAUGAGGUUGAACAAUUGUUUGAGGGACUUCAUAAACGUGUUAUCAUUUUUAGGUUAGCUACCCCAGCAGAGGGAAUAAUACUUGUGUGGUUCAGGCAAUAUCUGGAGUGGUUCGACAAUUGGAAGUCGAAUGAUUAAAGAAUGGCUAGAUGGUACCGAUGAACACUGUAACUUUGGAAAAUACAGUUAGUAAAGUUGUCAUAAAAUGUAUGGGUUGCUUAGCGUAUGAUGAGAAUGAUGUUGCGCCAAUUGAGGUCAGAAUCUCUACUACGAUUUUAUAGAGUGAGUGUAUAUCAAAGAGGUCAUGAUACGACUAUUACAAUGGUACCGAUGAUUACUCGGUUAGAAUUAUGGAAUGUGUUACUUUUGAUAUUGACCUGACCUAUGAAAGAAUACAUAUAGCUUGGGCUAGAUACAUAACGAAUUUGGUAAUAUUUUAUAACUAUUCGAUGGGUAGAAAUGUGUGACCUAUUUGGAUAUGAUCUUCUCAGUAUGUAUGAUAUGUUCUAGUGGUGGAUCUAAUAAUUUUUUGCGGUGUGAUACUAGUGGUCUAUGGAAACGAAUAUGUCGAUUGUCAAGUGUGAAUACUAACUACUUAAAGAGUUAUCAGUUGUAUCACAUUCUCGUAUAAUGAGAUUCGAUGUUUCAUUCACAUUUGAGAAACCAACUAGGUUGUUACUGCAGAUGUUUGGGGUUAAGCAAUGUGCAUAAGAAAGAUUUUAGUGGUGGAUCGUUGAUACGGUAUUAAUGCGUUAAGUUGAGAAGUGUAACCUAUGGGUUCUAAAUGAGGACCAGUGAUUCCAUCUUAAGGUCCAAGAGAAUGGAUAAAUACCAGAAUGACAAGCUUAUGGGUAAAGGAAGUCCCAAGAGUAUACUUGUGUGAAACUAAUUAAAGAUUUUAGAAAAAAAAUGCAUAUAAAAGUGGGUUAGUCCUUUGGAUUUUAUUGGUAUAACUGAUUUUAAGGUGUCAUGUCGAUGGCAAGGUGGACGUCGUGGUGAUGGCAAGGGCUAACUAAACUUGAUGGUAAUAAGGGAUUGCGAUGGAUUGUGAUUGAGAUGCAACUAUAUAAUAAAUAUUGUUGGUUAAACGAAUUUCACAUCGUAAUAACGACUUGCGAGUAUCUAAUGUUAUGGUUUGCUACUAUUUGACGAGUAGCAUGGUUGCAUGGAAAGUUAUAGAAGGUGUUGAGACACCGCUCGAAUAAAAUUUAAAGGAGCUAGAGUCAUAGUGAAAAAACAAUAGUGGGAUGUAGUGUAGCCUUCGGAAAGAGGUGAGAGUAAGAAUAGUUUCUAUUAUUGCAAAGGCUAAAGAGGUAUCUUCAAAGGGAUUGAGAAUUGGGUUCAGAGAUGCGUGGUUUUAUUUGUUUUGCUCUAGUUAUGGAAAUAGUGUCACGGGUUCAUCAAAUUGGUUAAAAACUAUUGAAUAAGGCUUGAAAAAUGAGUGUACAGACGUUCAGCUCGAGUGUAAUGAUAAGUUCUUUUGUGGUUUUGAGUUUGAUAAUGAGUAUGAUUGGAUGUUUAGCGAAGAAUAUGAUAAGGUCGAUGGAGAGGCGAAUAAUGAAAAGCUAAGAUACAUGAAUUCAUAAAAAUCUUAAAUGUAUGAGCUAAUGUUGAUAGAUAAUGAGAUUGGGCUACACAGUUGAAAUCAGAAUUCAAGUUUUUCGUUGUGAUUCUACGUCGUGAUAGUAUAUUUUGUUAAGGUAUGAAUUAGUAAGGUAAGAAAUAAUCGAUCGCAUUGGGUAUUUCAUUUGAAAGGACUUGUACAUGGUUUGGAUAGUAAGUUUGGUUACUUUUGAUUGUUAAAGAACCUAAGCAAAAGUUUUACUUAAAAAUAUUGGUCUAGAGUAUGUGGUAAACUGCCAUGGAUUGUGGGUCAAAGGAUUUAAUUUGUAAGCGAGUUAGCGAACGGAACAAGAGUCUCGUGUAGUGAAGAGUUUAAGAUAUUUAGAAUUUUGCGUCAUUGAAAGAAUUUAAGGAGAGGUGAAUGACUAAGACCUCUUGUAUAACCCUUAGUUCGAAGUUGAAGGUUGUAUGAAAUUUUGCCUUUGAGUUCAGAUAUGACUAUGAGAUGUGAAAUGGUUCAGCAUAGACUUACUAGGAGUUUAUUAUAGACUUUUACAAAGAUUAAGUUUUUAUUUGGGUGACAAGCAAUGAUGUGUGUAAGAUUCUAUGUGGUUAUGUCGAGCUAGAUUGUUCAAAUGAUGAUAGGUAACUUAUGGAUGUUCAACGGUGUGGACCUACAAUUUUAAAUGGUUAAUGAGGAUUUCAAGGGGAUUGAAACUAUUUUGUUGAUAGGGUGAUAUAGACUGUUAUGAUGUGUUACAUAUGCAUUUGAUGGUGAGUAGAGGUUUUGAGCUUAUAGUAUAUAGAAUUAUUGGAGUGGCCAAUGAUUUCUUUGAGUUUUGGCAUGGGGUACAGAUGGUAUGAAUGGUAGUUGAAAAAUGAUAUGUGAAAGUUUCUGUGAAGUUGACAUUGGGUAUGAUUCAAUUAUUGUACUUCGAUGGGAAAGUACUUUAGAUUUGAAAUUAGUGUUAUCAGUCUUGGGUGUGACUUAUAUCUGUCAUGUAACGCUUAAAUGGAAAGAGAAAGAGACAUAUUUUGAAAUUUUUAGAGGCUACAAUGUGUUUUCUAAGAAUACUUUUGUCACACCCAAAAUCCCAUUAAGGCGAACCGGCACCCGUUGCCGAGAAGGCUCGGGAGAACCAACCUGUAAUCAUGCUCUAUCUAUGAACAUUUAAAGGUGCAGCCAUAGUGGAUAACAUGUUUCCAUGAAAGUAGACAGUAUUAACAAGCCAAAAGAAAGUGCACAUGACUUGGCAGUUGGGACCAUGAUGUCUAAGACACGAGGCACAACCACACUUUACUAUACAUAGUCUACAAAGCCUCUAAAUGAUAAAACAUUAUGGGGUUAAGGUCGGGACAGGCCUCGCCUUACACUUAGCUACUAUACAAUACCAAAAUACAUGAUAUAGACUCAGAAAGCCCCGAAUCAACCUGGAGCUCACCAAUAGCCGCUGGAUGUCCUGUUAUUCUACUGGAGAGAUCUACUAGCUCCUGUACCUGCAUCAUGAAUUGCAGGUCCCCCGAGAGAGACGUCAGUACGGGAGAAUGUACUGAGUAUGUAAGGCAUAAAGUACUGUAUGUGAAAUAAGAACUCAAAUGAAAUCAUAUACCAAUGUAGGGAUACAAGACCACCUUUUCUGAUACUAUGGAAUCAGGUACUUUACAUUCCUUUCUUUACUUUAUCAUUCUUUACUUUACACUCUAUGCACAUCAUAUAAUACAAAUGACCAGCUGAUCAGUGGUAGACAUAUAAAUCUGGAUCGACCCAUUCUAGGCUUUCCUUUAACCCCUAGGAUACCACCCGUAAUAUUGGGAUCGACCCAUGCUAGGUGAUUCUUCCACCCCUGGGAUACCACCCAUCAAUAAGCAGAUUCAUUUAAUAUCUUUCCGUUAACAUUUGAGAUGAUUCUUUUGGUGGUCAUAACAUUUUGAGUUGUGGGACUACGUAGUCAACAACUAACGUGUAAUAAUCAUAUAAUUCAGGAACAACAACGUAGAGAGUAGUUACACAAUUAAUGAAAUGCAUAGGAGCUGAAAUAAUAUAUGGACCUUAUUUAGUUAAAAGGAGAACUCAUGCAGGGUAUUCAAUGUAUAUGUACAUAUUUGACAAUGAAUAUGUAUUGGAACGUGCAGACAUGUUAAAGAGUGAGAGAAAGGUCAUAAGUCGUGUUGGAGCUGGUAGGCUACCUCUAUGUGUCGAGGACGAGUCUAGAUUUCAUGUCAAUUAGUAGGAAAUCGAAAAGCCUUACAUACCUUGUUGUACCACCUUGUAGUUACCUUGAAGUACCUUCCUUUCUUUUUCAAAUACUUAUCUACAAUAGAGUAGGUGAUAAACUAGUAUUAGUAGUUACUAAACAUGCUUAGGCAGUCUAAUCUCACUCAACAAUAAUGCUCGGGCAGCAAACCCAUAAUUACCAAACUAAGGGUGCUCUUUCAAUCCCCGCCUUCUUUUAUUGCAUUUGUACACUACACAGCUAUAUUUCAAUAUCAACAGUUUACACCUUUUCCAGACAUCAACCAAGUUGUCCCCAAUAUGUUUACACAUCAACCUGUCCCAAAACAGUCCUAACAAUCCAACAUACAAUAGAGGACGUGAAACCAUAGUUUCCCAUCAUCAUCCCACGAGUUCUUAUCAACAGUAUACUUAAAAUAUCAUACUUAGACUCGUGUUUAAGGAAGACAAAGAUAGGGAAGUCACUUUACCUUGAUUCUUAUAACUCGUUUUCUUUUAACUUUAACUCUUCAAUAACUUGAGCUUCCCUUGCAAGGGCUUGGGUUUAUCCAAGAACCCUAGGAAACUUGUGAUUGCUUCUUUGCUUUGAAAGAGACAGGAGAAGCUUAGAGAGAAAUCUGAUUUUUUUUUAUCUCUUAAAAGUGAGGAAAUGGCCAGCAACUUGGGGAUUAUAAAGGUCUUAUUUUCCACACCUCUUAAGUUUUAAUAUCAACCUCUAAUUUGUCAAAGAGGUCCAAGUAGGUGAUGCAUCUACUUGGAAUUAUAUAUACAAAAAUUGGGCCCUUUAUGUACUCAUAUUGGGCUACAAUCUUUCCCCUUUCUAAUAUUAAGCCAUCAGCCAGAAUUAUAUCCUUAAUUUGGAAUCUACCUAGCCUAUUUGAGCUAAGCAAGUAGGUGACACCUGCUAGCUUUAUAAAGUCCAACAAGCACCUCAAUUCUUUUAUUCGUUUUCCGAGCGUAAUCUCCUUAGUUUAACUCAAAACUUGUAUACACUUGAUCACCUUAACUUUUAGACUUACAUAUAGCCCUUCGAUCCAGAAUUUAAAAACUUCUAAAAUUUAACGUUCACUCGAUCGUGCAAUAUUGCACUGUACGGGAGUUACCCUUAUAGCUUCUUUAUUGUCACCAUUCAUCUAGGAAAUCAAGUUCAUUACUUAUACCACCAAGCUAAAUCAAGUUCCAUAUGUGUAGAACUUGUACACGUAAAAUACGGGGUGUUACAACUUUGAUACUAGUGACAGUUUGAGAGUAAGGUAAAUGGUUGGUGUAGUUAUAAUGUUUGUUGGUAUUAAGAGUGUUAACUUUAAUGGAGUACUGUGAGAAGUAUGUGGGGUUUGAUGAAUCGAGUAUUUGUAAUAUUGUGAUGAGGAUCAGACUGGAUGAUUGUGGGUGGCUAAAAUCAAGAGAUGGAGUGAGAUGAAUGGAAUUUUAUUUAUAUGGGCACUAUGGAACGAGUAUCUUGUGUUAUUCGACCUUGCUUCUGUAUAUUCUUAUGUGACCACCUUCUUCGUACUGGACAUUAUUUGGAGUAUGAUUCACUGCUUAUACUAUGCGUGUUUCUACAUCUAUGAGUGAAUUCCUAGUGGUGGAUCAGGUGUACCGAUCAUGUUAUUGUCCUCAUUGUAGAGUGGCAUCUCUGGGCAGAUUUGGUCACUUCAGUUAUGACAUAUUUGGUGUUGUUUGGAAAAGUAGAGGUAUACCAUUGUAUCUACAUGCACGACCUCGCUUAUGAGAACUUAUAGAAGAGCUUCCGUGAAUAAUUACAGUUAUCCGACAGUGUUCUUAAAGGUUCUGCAUCCUAGAGUAUACCGUUUGUUGGGUGUUUACUGGAUCUUGUUCUUUUUUGGGUUAGAUAAGUUUGAUCCUUCCUUGAUGAGAACCCGAUGUCUAAAGAUUAGAUUUUUAUAACUUAAGCCCGUGAAAGUAUUAUAUUAUGAGAAUAAAAUCUUAAUAAGAUCUAUCAUGGUUUGUGCAUUAUGAGUGUGUGGUGAUUGGUUUAUUUUCACUUUUGGUUGUAGCCGGUAUUGAUUCAGAAUGUUAUUUUGGUUAUGUGAGAAAAGAUUCGUCAUGAUGGUUGUGUUAUAGUCCAGUGGAUUUCAGUGUAGAUUGGGUUCAUGAGUUAGUAUGUGGCUUGAUAAUCAUUCUUGAUUUAUAGAUCUUCCAAAGUUUAAUCCGAAAGUUUAGUUCUUGGUAUUGGACCUUGAUUGAAUGGUCCAAAUGAUGAGUUGAACACUUGGAGAAAUGAACACGACUCUGAAAAUCAUAACUUAGGCUUUUUGCUAACAUAUGUUAUUCCUCUUUCUCCUUCUUUAUGUUCGAGGACGAACAUGAUUUUUAGUGAUGGAUAAUGUAAUGACCCGGAUCCGAAAGGUCAUUUUUGAUAAUUUUGAAUAGUCAUUUAACUAUAGUUAAUUAAUUUGCGGAUAAUUUAGUUAUUUUUAAUAAUAAUGGGUCAAGUCUGAAAUAUUAAAAUAGCUAAGUAGGAAUUAUUACUUUUAAUACAUAAUUAAUUAAGAAAAGAAAAUAAAGAGAAGAAAGAAACUAGCCUAUGCAUCGGCGGCACAUAGACAAAGAGGAACGGAGAACGUAAGGUCAUCAGGUAAUCGUCCAAACCUUUGUAUUGUUGUAUAUAUAUGAUAGAUAUCAUAUUAUUAUUUUAUUAUUAUUAGUAUGGUUGAUUGUUAAAGAAAAAGAGAAACAAUUAAAUGGGUUUUAUGUUAGAAGAAGUGAAAAUUUAUUUACUGUAUAGGCAGUCUAUUUAAUGGAGAAAAAGGGUGUGAUGGCCAAUCAUUAUGUAAUGAUUUAGGAAUGAUUAGUCAAUGAUGAUUAAAUUAGUAAAUAUAAACAUAUGGUGUUUCAAUGUAAGGUUUGGAAACAUUAAGUGUUCUCACCAUAUUAUUCGUAAUUUACUUCGCUGUUUUCUUUUGAUUUUCUUUAUUACGUACUAGUAUACGUAUCCACGUGUUGCGCGGUUCAUCAAUAAAUGUAAUAAUAACUAUAUAUUUAUUGAGUAAUUUCAAUUUUUUAAUUAUUAAAAAAUGAUAUUACAAAGUUUAUAUGAGAGAAUAUUACCAUGUUUAGCACAUCAACAUCAACAUGUAUUUAAUAAAAUACUUUAUGAAAAUAAAUCAAUAUAAGCUUAAUUUAUUAUCUAAACUUGUGCAUAGUAAAUUUUAAAAUAAUGUUAUUUAUUUGUUUUUCAAAUUAAUCAAAAUCAUAAAUGUGCGCACAUUCCCUACUAUCUUCUUGUUAUCAUUUGUUUAUUAUAAUACUUUUUAUUAAUUUAUUCAGGUAGUGUUUUACCUUAAUUUAAAUCAUGAUUUGAACAAUUUAUAUUUUUGUUUUCAAUAUGAUAUAUUUAAUUUUAAUUAUUGAUAUUAACUACAUAUGAAUUUGAAUUAAUAUAUAUUAUUACUCAAUAUUUAUUAAGAUUUCAUCUGAAGAAAAAAAAACAAUGAUAAAACUUGAUCUCCUAAAAUUUGGAGCCAACAAAUUUAACUUAUAAUAAAAAUUAUUUCUUCUCCUAAGUUUUCACACCUCACUUGAAUUUAAGUAAGCUAAUAGAUAAUUAUUGCAAUUCUAUAUAAUUUAAGUAAGCUAAUAGAUAAUUAUUGCAAGUCUUUAAAAUUUAAAAAUAAUAAAACAAGUCAUAUAUAUAUAUAUAUAUAUAUAUACACAAUAAAUAUAUCCAAUAUGUUAACAAAAUAUAAAAUUAAAAUAAUUUAAUUUUAAAAUUAGAAUUAGAAUUUAGUGUAAGACACUUUAAUUAAAAUUUGAAUUUCAUAUUGUCAAACUUCACAUUUGAAAUUUGUAUGUGUGUAAUAUAUGUAUUCGUUGAAUUGGAAUUUUGAGAACUAAUAUUUGUUGAAUUGGAAAUUACAUUUUAAGUUAGUAUUAAUUGAGAUUGUAUGCAUAGUUAGAUUUGAUGAAAAUAUAAUUUUAUAACUACUUAAAACUGCUCAUUUUUUUAAAACACUAAUUGAUAGUUUUAAAAUUCAGCAUAAAUUUGUGUCAUAAAUAAAAUAUUUCUCAGUAUUAAUAAUUGAUAAGAAUAAAUAGCAUGUGCUAUUUUAUUCGAAAAUUCCUUUGGCUUCUUGAUAAGAGAAAGAUGUAAAUCAUGAGCAAAAAUUGAAGAAAUUUUUUGUAACUUUCUUAAGUGUUGGAACAAUUUACUUAUUUUGAAUCAUGAAAAAAAUCUAACAAUUCAAUUAUUUUAAAAUGGAGUGAAUAUCAUACUCAAUAUAAAAAAACAAAACACUCAUUGUCACAACAUAAUUGAAAAAUAUAAAAAAAAUACAUUGAUUAGGAGAGUUUUAAUUCACAAUUUCUUUCUUUAUCAUAUUUUUUCUCUGUAUAGUACCCAAAAAAAAAUAAAAUAUACAACCUUUUAACGAAAUUAUCUUCUUGAAAACUUAUUUUGCACGUGUCUUUUUAUAUUUUAUGUUGCAUAUGUAUGAAUAAGUAUAAAAAGGUAUAAAAAAACUACAAAAGUUUAAAAGUAAUGAAGUUAUACAACAUGUAAUUAACUUUGAUUAUUAUAUUUUAAAAGGUUAAAAAAUUUAAAAGUAGUGGAAUUAUAUAGGGAUAAGGGUCUGAAAAAUAUCCAACUUUGAUCGAAUUUGCUAAUAGGUCCUCAUGAAAGUUUAGUAUCGCAACAACAAAUUCGAUCAAAGUUGGGAUAUUUUUCAGACUCUUAUCCCAAUUAUAUAACAUGUAAUUAACUUCUUAAUUAUUUAAAAUAUAAAAUAUUUAAUUUAUAGAAUGUACGUAUAUGUAUAUAUUUUCUUAAAUAAAUAAAAGAAAGAUACUUAAUAACUUCUUCAAGAAAAGUUUAUAAUUUCAUAAAGCAUGUAACUUAGAUAAAACUUAGUGCAUUUCUGAUUGUCUUUUUUUUUUUUAAAAAAAAAAACAAACAUUCAAGCACAUUGGCAAAAUUUUAUAGAUAUUCAACCUAAAGUGAAUUCAUAUUCAAUGUUUAAAAUAAAAAAAAAACAUUCAUAGUCACAACAUAACAAAAAAUAUAUAAAUACAUUCGGUUUGAAAGUUUCAAUUUCUUUUUUGAUGAUGUAUUUAUCAUUUUUCCUAUGUAUAGUACCUUAAAAUAAACAAUAUAUAUUUCUUAACAAAAUAGGAAGAAAAAGCACAGAUGUUCCAAAAAGUGAUUUUUUUUCUCGAACAAUUACCACAAAAAUUGUUCAAUAUUGCAGAUUAUUUGCAACAAACUCCUCUUGCUUGAGAUAUGGAUUGCUCACUCAAAUAAUUUAACUCUUCUGAUUUAUCUCAAUUUUCUUUUGACUGACUUGAUUAUGCUCAUAAAUUUGUGUCUUUUUUUUAAAGGGGUAAAAGAUGUUUUUUUGGAAAUGGUUACACUGAAUGGGGAGGGAAUCAUCCGCUUGUUUAAAUGUUUCAUCACUAACUGCUCCUUUUAUUUUGGGAUAGAAGUGAAAAGUUAACGUGCAGUUAAAAUAUUUUUUAUUAUUUUUUUCAUUAUUUAUAAAUGUGCAGUUAUUUAAAAAUUUCAGAUUUAUAAUCUUUUAUAAAUUGAACGUAACUACUUAUGUUUUAAAAACGUAAAUAAUUAGUAUUAUUGUAAUUCCUAAAUUUUAGCAUCACCAUCUUAAGCAUUUAUCCUAAAAAAGAAAUAUUUCGAAUUUUUCUAAAAUCAAUUUUUGACUGACCCUCACGUAGUCACGUUACUUUUUUAAUAUUUUAUAUUCUUUUGUCUUUAUUGUAAAAAAUGGAAUUACUAUUUUAAAAUUUAAUUUAAAUAUAUAUUUUUUAGAUAAUGCUUGAUAGUUCAACAAAAUUAGGCUCAAUAUUUUUUUAAAUUAAGAUAUUUAAAAGGAUAAUACUUGAUGGUUCCACAAAAUUAGAUAAUGCUUGAUAGUUCCACAAAAUUAGGCUUCAAAACUAAAUUUCAGAUGCAGAACUUCCGUGUGUGUUUUUUAUUUUUAUUUUUAAUAUUUUCAAAGUUUAAAUUUUUUAUUCUAAACUUGAAAACCACAAAAAUUAGAAUUUCUAUUUUGAAAUUUAAUUUAAAUAUAUAUUUUUUAUGUUAACAUUUGUCAUUAAUAAAAGAAAUUUAAUUAUUUAAUUUUUUGAUGUUUUAGAAGUAAAAAUUAGAGACUAAAAUUCAAAUUUUAAAUUAUUAUCUUAUAUAAAUUCUAAAAAUAAUAAAAUGGUUAUAUCACAUUAAUUUUAAGUAGUUUUAUAAAGAAAUUUAAUAUUUUUAAUUUCGAAUUUCACAUAAUUACAAAUAGUGGAUCUUAUUUUUUUUUUUUAAAUGUGGAAUUAUAUAAAUUUGUUUUUUUUCACUAACCACAUUACUUGUUUUAUAUUUUUUAAUUAUUACUAAAUAAAUAAAUGUGCAGUUAUAUAAAUUAUUUUUUUUACCAACCACGUUUCUGUUUAUAUUUUUUUUUUGUCAAUUGACAUUUUAAAUUUGCAUUUCGCAUUUUUAUUUUUUUUAGGCUGAUAUUUGUAAUUAUUUGUUUUAAUUGAUGAUAUAUUUCUAUUUUUUAUUUAAAAUUUUAAUUUUAUAAAAUUUAAUUAGUUUUAAUUUAAAAUCCAAAAUUUGAGAAUAAUUCAAAAGCAAUACAUUUUUUAAUAAUAUAAUAUAAAAUCUAUAAUAUAAUAUAAAUUUUAAAAAAUUGUAUUUCAAAUAGUUAAUAUUAAAUCUGAAAACUUAAAAAAAAGAAAAAAAAAAAGAAAGAGUUCUAAACGUACUGCAUUGAUUUAUAGUUACACGUUUUAGGACUCCCGCACGUUUUGAUUUUAAUUUUUUAAAAUAAGUUUAAAAAAUAGAUAUAGUAAUUUAUUAUUUAAUCUUAGUACAUGUAAUUAAUAAAUUAUUAUUAUUAUUAUUAUUAUUAUUAUUAUUAUUAUUAAAAUGGGAUAACUUCCCACUAAAAAAAGGAAUCACACGCACUAUUUUUUAGAACUUCAUUUUUUAAAACUAAUUAACUUCUCAAUUAAUUUUUUUUAAUAAUUUAUAAUAAUAAUAAUUAAAGUGUUUAUUAUUAUUUUAAUACAAAGGUUUAUUAUUGUGUAUUAUUAGUAAAAUAACGCGUAUUAUUAUUUAAAAAAUGGAAAUAGAAAUAUGAUAACUUCCCCCAAAAAAUGGAAGCACACGCCCUAUUUUUUAGAACUGUUUUAAAUUUAUUGACGGAUUAGUUUUAAUUACACAGUAAAAAUCAUUUUAAAAUAAAAAAUCAUUAUUUUAACAUUUAUUUUAAUUUAUUUUUUUAACGUAAACUAAUUUUAAAGGCAAUUAAAUUAAAACAUACAACCGUUUUUAAAUAAUAUUUAAAUGAUAAAUUUUAAAAGAAACUUCCAUAUGUGGGGUUUUUAAAAUAAAUAAUUCUAAUUUAGAAGUUCUUCAAUAUGUUUAGAAGUAGGAGUGUAAUGGGAAGUUUUAAACCUCCCUAUUUAGUUGGGUAAUGAUUUUUUUUUUCAAAAUAAAGAUUAAAACACCAUAUAUUUUUUUCAUACGUGGUUUUUAAAAAAAUAAAUAAUUUUAAUUUAAAAAAUUUUCAAUUUGUUUUGAAGUGGGAGUGUAAUGGGAAGUUUUAAAACUUCCUAUUUAGUUGGAUAAUUAUUACAAUUUUUUUCAAAAUAAAGAUUAAAACGACAUAUUUAGUUGGCUGUUUUUUUCUAAAAAAACUAAUAAUACAUUAUUAUUAUUAUUAUAUUAUUAUUAGUUUAACAUAAACAAAAUUAUUAUUAUUAUUAUUAUUAUUAUUAUUAUUAUUAUUAUUAUUAUUAUUAUUAUUAUUAUUAUUAUUAUUAUUAUUAUUAUUAUUAUCAUUAUUAUUUGUUUGAUUUUUUAUAUAUAUAAGUAAAGAUAGAACUUAUAGAUUAUAGAUAAUAUUAAGAUAACUACUGAUAAAAUAAAAGAUUAUCAACACAGUUUUUCAUUGAUUAUAGGACUCCGUAGUAAAGGAUGGAGAGUUAUAAAUUUUUUUUAUCUAAAACUAUUUCUAAAUCCGCCCAAUUCCCCCUUCAUGUAUGGUUACCUGAUGCCAUGGAGGGGCCUACUCCUAUUUCGGCUCUUAUACAUGCUGCUACUAUGGUAGCGGCAGGAAUUUUUCUUGUAGCUCAGCUUCUUCCUCUUUUUCAGAGUUAUACCUUACAUAAUGUAUUUGAUCUCGGUUAUAGGAAUAAUAACAGUAUUAUUAGGAGCUACUUUAGCUCUUGCUCAAAAAGACAUUAAGAGAGGUUUAGCCUAUUCCACAAUGUCUCAAUUGGGUUAUAUGAUGUUAGCUCUAGGUAUGGGGUCUUAUCGAAGCGCUUUAUUUCAUUUGAUUACUCAUGCUUAUUCCAAAGCAUUAUUAUUUUUAGGAUCCGGAUCUAUUAUUCAUUCAAUGGAAACUAUUGUUGGAUAUUCUCCAGCUAAAAGCCAGAAUAUGGGUCUUAUGGGAGGUUUAAGAAAACAUGUACCAAUUACCAAAAUCACAUUUUUAUUAGGUACACUUUCUCUUUGUGGUAUUCUUCAUGUGUGUGUGUAGGAACUUUUAAACUAAUAAUAAUUAAGAUCAGAUUAAAAUAUAUAAUUAUGCAUAAGCAAAUAAUCCGAAAUCGAUUUUGUUUUCACGCAUAUUUGUUUUUUAAUUACAUUUUUAAUAGUUAAUAAAUUAAUUUUAUAUAACACAUAAGUAAUAAUAAUAGGUUUUAUGUUUCAAACAUGCAUUUAUAAUAUAAAUUUUCUAUGCAAUUAAAAUAAACUUCAAUGAAUUAAAGUAUAAAAUAUUGAGAACUUCCUUAAAAUUAUAUAUAAAUUAAAAUGAAAAUAAAUUGUUAAUUGGUAUGUUGUUUUUUUUAUAUUUUUUAUAUUAAACUUGUGUGUUUUCUGUCAAUUGAAGGUUUCUAUUGCAUUACCUUUUUUUUUUGUUAAAUUUCAAUUGUCAGUUUUUUUUAUUGGUUUUUCGUUUAGUUUGAAUUUAUAAAUUAAAGAUAUUUGAAUUAUGAAAUUUUGAAAAGAAAGAAGAAAAUUCUUAAUCGAUUACCUAUAUUUUAGGAAUUCAUUACUGUAUUUUAACAUAACUAAAAAUUAAAAAGAUAAUAAUAUUUAUACAAAUUUAAAACUAUCCCCACUAAUCUUAAAAUAAUUAACUGCAAUUUCAUGUGUCUUUUUUUUUUUGUUAUGAAUUACAGUUUUAUAAUAUUUAUUUUUUCAAAAUACUGCAAGUAUAGGCACUUUCAUUACAAAAUACAGUUUUAUAAUAUUAUUUUUCAAAAUACUGCAAGUAUAGGCACUUUCAUUACAAAAUACAGUUUUAUAAUAUUAUUUUUCAAAAUACUGCAAGUAUAGGUACUUUCAUCCCAAGCAUAUAGUCUUCUAGCAUUGAUAAGAAAAGCCUAAACUAAAAACAAAUACACCUCUUUCAAGUAAUAAAAAAAUAAAAUAAUCUAACCCAAGCAAAUUUUAAUAAAUUUAAUGAAAAGAAACAAAGAAAGUACACCUCCUUUUAAAUGGAGUAAUAAAUUAUAUACAACUGCAAAUCAACGAACUUUCAAGUUCCAAUGCAUUGAUUUGGAUAUAAUUUCUGAAAUUGUGUUAAAUUGCAAAGCCAUGUAUAUUGUUGAAUAUAGGAGAACAAUAUAAAGUUAUGUAAAGUUAUUACUAAAAAUGUCUAUAGAAAUCAUCUUUCCACAACUCAACAACAAAGAGCUCCGAAAUAUUAGGAUCUUUCAAACCCUAGCUCCGAUUUCCGAUAGGAUUAUGGCCACCGGCCAGCCGUUGAGUGCUGGACCGGUAUUAGAGUUAUACAAUGAUUCUGCAUUUCCCAUACUACGCCAUACAAAGGCAGCACCAUCAAAUGAUGGGAAAUCACAUGGUAAUUUGAAUGACGGAAAUAAUUUUGUCCCAGUAUAUGCUAAUAUGCUUAAAAGUGAUAAGGAGAAAAAUACCAUUAUGCCAGCAGUGGAACCAAUUCUGGUCAAACAAGUAUCCUAUAACAAUGGGGUUCCAAGGAUAGUCUGGACCGAAAAAGAAGUCGAUAGGAUGAACAUUAUAGAAAAUCUGCAAUACGCAGUUGUGGGAAGUUUUCGUAUGGUUGGCCUGAUUUGGAUGAAUUGCGCAUACAAAUUCCUAAGCAAUGCAAUGUUAAGGGGGAUUGUAAAAUCGGGUUACUACGAAAAAGACAUUCUUAUAAGAUUCACUAGAGAGGAAGAUUUCAUCAAUAUGAUGUCUAAGCCAGCGUAUUAUAUAUUAUCCAAGGAUGGAUAUUCAUAUAUGAUGCGACCUCUUAUUUAUGAUGCAAAAUUUAAUGCAGAAGAGGAAACCACUCAAGCAAUGGCAUGGAUCUCCUUUCCGAAAUUAAGACCCACUUUGUUUGUAAAGGAAUCCAUUUUUUCUCUCGCCUCAGUAGUAGGGAAACCAUUACUCCUUGAUGUAGCUACAAUAAAUAAAACUCGACCUAGUUGUGCAAGGGUGAAGGUACAAGUGGAUUUAUUAGCAGAUCUCCCUAAAGUCAUAGAACUAGAGGUGAGAAAUGAGGAUACAGAUACAUCAAGAGUUGAGAAGGUUAAGAUACAAUAUGACUUGCUGCCAAAGUAUUGUCAAACAUGCAAGUUACAAGGUCAUGCAGAGAUGGAAUGUAGAGUAUUACAUCCUGAACUCAAAGUAGCAGUAGAUGAAGAGGAGGAGAGGCAGGACACUAUCGACUCACUGGAGGCAACUGGAACACCUGUGAUUCGUGUAGGAAAACAACUCAAAAAAUGGCACCCUACAAACAAAUUUAUCUCAAGGAAAAAGCAAAGUGAACACCAAAAAGAUGAUACAGCGAUGAGAAUUGGCAACUCUUUUGCAGCUCUUAACGAUGAAGAUGCAAAUAGUGAACAACAAAGUGACAAUCUAUCGACUAAUGGCAGGGUAAAAGGAAUAGAAAAAACCAAUCAUACGCUUAUAGAUGACAACUUUCAUCAGCAUGCAUCAAGCAAGGAAUGGGUCACAGAGGUAUUUGCACAACAAGAGAAACAAACCAAUAACAAUAAUAAUAGCAUGGACAUAAAAGUGAAAGAGUAUUCAGGGCAAAUGGUAGAGGAGUGUGGAACACUAGUGCAGAAUGUGGUACAACAAAUAGAUAGAGGAGCAGUAGUAGUAUAUGAUGCAGUUGUGAAGGCUGUUACUGGAGUAGGGACUGCCUGUGAUGAUGCACCUGCAAGUGAUCGAAAUAGUGAGCAAUUAGGGGAAGAACAAACUGAAGAUACAAGUAAUAUGCUGGAGGGUGAAAUGAAAGCAAUUGUAUCUGUAUAAGACAUGAAAAUGGCAACAUACUAGGAACCUUUGCAGAUGGUGGCGGAAGGUGAGGUGCAGAUCCAAUUCCAGCAGAACUAAGAGGUGCAAGAGUGCACAAAUGCAAGUAUUACAAAUUUCAAUACUAGCAAAUCAACACCAAUGGAAGCUCUGCAUGCUUUGGUGUCUCAUAAGGUGGAGCAACUACAAACCAAAGACCAAAAUAAGGAAAAUCAAGAGCAUGAAGUAGGAGACGGUGAAUACCUAAAAGAUAUUGAAGAGGGGGAAAAUGACUCUAACUUGGUUCAAGUAUGCAAAGGGGCAGGCUUAUCACAUAAGUUAUGCACAAAAGGAAGAAAAGGUAAAGUUAAAGGAGACAGUAAUUGUAUUUUGCCUACAAGGGUUCAAGCUAGGAAGGUUGCCAAAAUAGUUUCUAAAUGAAGUACAAAGCUUUAUUUUGGAAUAUUAGGUCUGUUAAUACUCUACAAGCAUUUCACAGAGUUCAAAUGCUCCACAAACAUCAUAAGUUUUUGUUGAGGGCAUUAAUGGAGCCAUUUCAAAAUUCUAGGCAUAUUCAGAGAUACAAAAGAAGAUUGGGGAUGCACUACGUCAACUACAAUGUGAAUGGUCAAAUUUGGGUGUUUGUGAAGCAACACGUUCAUGUAGGAGUUAUAGCUGACUCGGAGCAACAGUUAACUUUACAACUCACUCUGGAAAAUGGGGAGCAACUUUUGGUAUCUGUUGUAUAUGCAAAAUGUUCUGCUAUUGAGAGACUUUCUCUCUGGGAUGAGAUAUUCACAAUAAGCCAAGAAUAUGUUGUCCCCUGGAUGAUCGGGGGUGAUUUUAAUGUGAUAUUGCGUGAAGAAGAAAAGAUUGGUGGUUUACCAGUAUAUCCCCAGGAGUAUGAAGAUUUUGCUGAAUGUUUAAAUGCAAGUGGUUUGGCUGAUAUUACUUUCUCAGGAAACCCUUUCACCUGGUGGAAUGGUAGGGUAGAUGGGGAAUGCAUUUUUAAGAGAUUGGAUAGGGUAGUGGUGAAUAAUUAUUUCUGGAUUCAUAUGGCAAUUCAUGGGUACAACAUUUGGCUAGGACUGGGUCUGAUCAUGCCCCACUCCUGCUUACUUGUGGAGCCAGUAAAGGUACUAUUGUCAAACCUUUUAGGUUUCUCAAGUUUUGGACUGAAAGAGAGGAUUUUAAAGAAGUGGUGGAGCAGAACUGGGUGGCUGAGAGUUCAGAUGAUAUUUUUGUACAGCUUAAGCAGAAACAGAAGAGGACCAAGAAGGCUUUAGCCAAGUGGAGUAAAGAAAAAUUUGGGGAUAUUUUUUAACAAUUAGCAAUUAGAGAAGAGAUUGUGAAAUUGAAGAAGCAACUAUUUCUUGACGAUCCAUCACCCGCUAAUAGAAGUAUUCUUCAGAAGGCUUAUGCAGAGCUGAAGGUUUAUUUACACUUUGAAGAAGUGUUCUGGAGACAAAAAGCUAGUGUGCAGUGGUUUGAGGAAGGGGACAGGAACACUAAAUUUUUUUCACAGUUUAGUGAGAGGAAGAAGAAAGAGGCUUACAUGAGGAGAAUAAUUAAAUCUGAUAGCUCAUGGGAUGAAUCAAAAAAUGCGAUUGCAGAAGAAGGGGUUAAUUUUUUACCAAAUAAUUUACUGCAGGGGUUAAUCAUUCUGACCUAUCUCUACUAAUGCAUAUUAAUCCUAUAAUCUCACAAAAGGAAAAUGAUAUAUUGACCAAGUUACCUGAUGAGGCUGAGAUCAAGAGGUUAGUAUUUGAGUUAAAUGCAGAAAGCUCUUGUGGACCAGAUGAUUUUUCUGGUUGUUUUUAUCAAAACUGUUGGGACACUGUUGGUUUAGAUGUGAUAAAAGUAGUUUCAGGCUUUCUUCAAAGGAGCUACUUUACCUAAGUCUAUUACUCAUACUAACUUGGUGCUAUUACCUAAAAAGGAUUUUCCUCAAUCCUUUUCUGAUCUUAGACCUAUUAGCUUGAGUAAUUUCCUUAAUAAAAUCAUAUCUAGAUUGGUGCAUGAUAGAAUGGAGGUGUUGUUUCCUAGAUUGAUAUCCCAGAAUCAAUCUGAAUUUGUCAAAGGAAGAAAUAUUAAUGAAAAUGUAUUGAUGGCUCAAGAAUUUGUUACUGAUAUUAGGUUGAGGGGCAAACCAGAUAAUGUGAUUAUCAAGCUUGACAUGGCAAAGGCGUAUGACAAGGUUGAUUGGAGAUUUUUGAUUAAAGUAAUGGAAAAAAUGGGUUUUAAUUCUAUGAUGCUUGACAUGAUUUGGAGAAUUAUUGCUAAUAAUUGGUACUUUGUAUUGAUUAAUUGUCAAGCACAUGAUUUUUUCCAUUCAUCAAGAGGGGUUAAACAAGGAGAUCCUUUGUCUCCUGCUUUGUUUAUACUUACUGUUGAGGUAUUAACGAGAACUCUAAAUCAUCUAUUCCUAGAAGAGGAAUAUAAAGGAUAUGGCCUUUCUAAAUGGAGUGAACAGUUGAAUCACUUAUCUUAUGCUGAUGAUACAAUUAUUUUUGCCUCUACUGAUAGGAGUUCUCUCCAGUUGAUAAUGCACACAUUGAAAAUGUAUGAACAUCAAUCAGGACAACUUAUAAACAAAGAAAAAAGUGUAUUUUACUUGUUUAACAAAGUUGCUCUUAACUCUGUUCAAAUGGCGGAGGAAAUCACAGGUUUCUGCAAAUGGAGUUUUCCUUUAACUUAUUUGGGUUGUCCUAUUGGUCAUGCUAAGAAGAAGAAGAUUCAUUUCAAAGAGCUCAUCAAGAAGAUUCAAAAUAAACUCGAAAUGUGGAAAGGGAAACUUCUAUCUUAUGGGGGCAAAUCAGUGUUGAUUAACCACGUAUUGCAGAGUAUUCCUAUCUGCCUCCUCUCAGCUAUCACGCCUCCUAAAUGUGUCAUUGAUGAUAUUCAUAAGAUUUUUGCAAAAUUCUUGUGGAAUUCUAAAGAACAAGGAAUAGCCACUCAUUGGGUAGCAUGGGGGGGAUAUUUGUCUGCCCAAGGAGGAAGGAGGUUUAGGUUUUAGAUCUUUAUUUGAUGUCUCCAAAUCUUUACUUGCCAAGUUGUGGUGGAAUUUUAGAACCAAAAAUACCAUGUGGACAAAUUUUAUGUGGAAUAAGUAUUGUAAAAGACAAAGGCCACAAUUGGUGGACUGGAAAAAAGGAUCUCAAGUUUGGAAAGCUAUGUUACAAGCUAGGGAUUUCUUUGAUCAAGAGAUCUGGUGGGAACCUAGAGAAUGACAUACUAGUGUGUGGUUUAAUAACUGGACACAACUGGGUGCUUUGCAUUUUUUGAUGCUUAUAUCACAUAACCAAAGUCAACUGGAAGAUGUCAAGGAACUAUAUGUUGAAGAUGGAUGGAAGAUUAAUGCACUGGAAAGUAAUUUCAAUGAGGAUAUAUGCAAUCACAUAUGCAAUACCUUAGGAAGCUUUACUAAUACUGAAGGAAGAGAUAAAGCAUGGUGAAUGACUAGUAGUGAUGGUAAAUUCAAAAUUAGCUCAGCCUGGGAAUUAUGCAGAAGUAGAGGAGAGUAUAUAGAAAAUAUCUCCAAUAUUUGGGAGAAAGGUUUGCAUUUUAAGGUAUCCUUUUUUAUGUGGAGAUUAUGGUUUAGAAGGAUUCCUAUUGGGGAGGUCUUAAUUAGAAGGAACAUAGUUGAGAGGGUUGAUUGUAGCUGCUGCAAUAAUAGUGCUCCUGAAACUUUCUCUCAUCUAUUUGUCUAUUGUCCUAGUGCUCAAUCUGUUUGGAAAACUUUUAGAAAUGCUGCAGGGUUAUCAUUUCCAAUUAAUCAGCUUCAACAGAUUAUGGAAGAUUGGUGGAAAGCUGAUGGUACGUAGUCCUAAAUUGAAGCAAUUGUUUAAAGUAGUUCCUGCUUUCAUAACUUGGGAAAUUUGGAAGAGGGGGAAUGUGAUGAAGCAUGGUGGAAAUAUGUCAACAACCUCAAUGAUUGUAGAGAUACAUAGAAACAUCUACUUAUUUACUAAGAGUUGAUAUCCAUGGUUAAAGAAUGUCCCUCAAAACUGGCCCUUAAUUGUCAAAUAUUUUGAAGGAUAAGCUCCAUUGACAAAAACUAUGGUGGUGAGAGUCAUCCCCUCAUGGGAGUAUAUAAAUGCAAUACUGAUGCUUCUUAUCAGCUUGAAUCAAGAGUUGGGUGUAUAGCCUUUUGUAUUAGAGAUAUACAAGGAGAUUUGAAAUAUGCAGAAUCUAGAAGAAUUAAUACUACAUCUAUUUUGGAGGCAGAGGUCAUGGCAAUUAAGGAAGGGUUACAGUACUGCAAUCAAGGAAAUUUCCUUCCCUUGAUAAUUGAGCCAGACUCACUGGUGGCUCAAAAAGUUAUACAUGGAGUAUGGGAGGUCCCAUGGCAGAUAGCUUGGGAUAUCAAACACAUUCAGACAAUGAUAAAGAGUCAUGGGGUGGAGGUGGUUCACGUCCUCAGAGAAGGGAAUAGCCUCGCUGAUGCUUUAACUAAGUCGUUUGCUCAUUUUGCAGGUACAGAGAUACAACAAUAUCGAAAUAUGCAGGAACUACCACAACAUGCCAAAGCUAUUUUGCAACAAGACAAAGAAAAGACUCCUAAUUUGAGGAUCCGAAAAGUUCAAAACAAACAUUAUAAUGGUGCUUAAAAAAGAAAAAAAGAAGAAAAAGGAGCACCACAUCAGUUCAAAGCAAAUCAGGAGAGGACUAAAAUAAGAAGGUGAAAGAUUACCUUAGUCUCCUGGAAAAGGGUGAGCGAUGCAAGGUCGGAGAUUAGUCGACUUAAACAGUGGUAUUAAUCUCGGUGGGGUUCAACCUGUUGAGGAGAAUAAUCAAGGACCGAGUAUCAAAACAUAUCUCAAAGAUGAGUAAUUAAAUUAUAAAGGUAAAACUUAUCUCAAUAGCUCUUGUCUUCAAAUCUGGAUGGUGACUGAAGUGUGUCCCCAAAAUUCUUGCGCAUAACUUGAGAUCUAGCUCAGAUCGAUAAAAUUCAGGUAGAAGAAGUCUUCAAAGGUAUUUGAAUCAUUAUAUCAGUGAGAUUUGUUGAUGUGGAAGUGAUUGCAACCCAUACCUGGAUCGAUAUCGAACAGAGCUCAUAUCAAGAGGAGGUGAGUAUUUGGAAGGAUUGAUCGUCACUUUGGGAGGAUUCUCCGGCGACUGUCACAUCGGAGAAGCUGAAUUUUUUUCCAAACAUUAGAGUUUAUUUCCUUUUCUGUUAGUUUGGUUUCUUCUUCCUGUAGUUUACUUUGUUUUGUUGUUUCCGAUCGGGCCACUUUUGGACCCAAUUGGUAUUGAAUUUAUGUUUUUUAAUAAAGUUGUGG
This 64151-nucleotide long non-coding RNA is filed under the name Solanum tuberosum (potato). Its description in RNAcentral is "long non-coding RNA (STUB_LNC004871)". Lineage: Eukaryota; Viridiplantae; Streptophyta; Magnoliopsida; Solanales; Solanaceae. The record is from RNAcentral.